UUUUUUUUUUUUUGGCACAAAUGACUCGGCGAGGCAUGACUUUGGGGCAAAAAGGUUCUUGCCCGACCAUCUUGUACUAAACGAGCACUAAUGAACGAAAGCUUUAGAGGCACGACUUGACCUGCGGGAAUUAAGAAAAGAACAAGUUGAUCGUGAGAAAGAGACGGGAGAGACACAGCAGGUCGCCAUCGCUCGCUGAUUGAUUGCAGUAGUAGCUCCAUUGCUCGCAUCUUGUUCCACCUCUUAUCUCGCUCUCCCCUCGCCCACCACCCACCAGCCGCCUCCACUGCCACUGAGUACUGAUGAAGCUUCAACCAUCGCCCGAUAUGCCGUGUACAGCUCCGUCCAUCGCAUGAAUCAGCUUCACAACCCGGUUCAGUCUUGCUGUCGUCCGCUGCAGAUCGAGCUGCUCCCUCGACUCCGCUGCAGAUCCCGUAGUUUCCAUCAGGUACUCUGUUCUGAGCCAGAGAGUUCAUCACACGCACAGAUGUGUUCCGAAUAAGCUUUGGCUUUAGAUUAGAUGCUUGCCUGCAGUUUUAGCAGUUUUAUAGAGAAAAGUUUUCGCCUGCCAUGUGUUCGACAGAUUGUCCCACCGCCAACUAGAGGCCGAGACGGGCUGCCAAAAUGGCCAAAUCUUAUUGUACUAGUAGUAGUAUGCACAGUACAGUGAUCUCAUCCUGUUCUUGCCACUAGUGGAUAUUGUGUGUCAUAAAAGUCGUACUAGCUCUUAGUUGCGUCUGCAUGACAUCUGUGUCCUUGGCUGCAUAGUCUGAUGUUCGACUUCUCUCUUCUUAUGCUGCAGAAUUGAUCACACUGGUCCUUCAUUCGGCAUGUAAGCGCCGUCCUGCUCCAUAGGCCACAUACUACAAUUCUCUAGAAGGUGAGUAUUGGUUAGCUGAUGAUGUGAAACCGCCGGUAUCAAAAGUUACCCUUUUCGAAAGAUAGCUCUGUGCCAUGUAGUCUUAUCAAAUGUGAUAAAUUAACUUGUACUAAAUCAGCGACAAUUAAUACGGAUCGGGAGGGAGUAGAUAAAUUAGCAGCCCACCGAUUCAUUUACUAGACUAGUUGUGUUCUGUGUGCAUGCUUAGAGUUUUGCGCUCAACUAGCACAAACAUCAAUUGCUUGUUGGUCCUUACAUGGUAUCCUGGGGGCCUUGCCAAACUUCCUGCAACGAAAAUCUUUCUGUAGUCCUGACGACAGUCAAAAGAGAUGACAAUCGGAUAUUCCAUCCAGCUUAGUAGGUUUCUUCUGUUCUGUUCUUUGUGCCACCUGUCAUCCACGUUCUCUACUUAUUCAUUUCUUGAAUUAGGCUAGGUGCUUCUACCUUAGUUUUGAAAACAGAGAAUGACUUUGACUGAACGUUGUUUGUGAUGCGAUUUAUCUCUUCGAUUGGGUAUUUCUAUUCUAGAAUAUGAGCCAAAAUCCUCGUAUCUUUUCCAAAUUCUGCCGGGUGAAGUUCAGUCAGGAAUUCCAUCCGUUACUAGUGCCGUUAACUCUGAUCCAUGGGGAGAUUUCAGUGGACAAAGGGAUUCUCUGAUGUGAUGAUACCUAGUAUCUUCACACAUGAUAGAUCAUUGUUUGAUUUUAGAUAUGCUAUAAAUCGAUAAAUUUAGUUGAGAAAAAAAAUGGAAUGAGAUGGGCCAAGGGGUAUAAACUACUGUUUAUUCAUGCAUGAGCUAAUUCAGUUAAUUCUAGAUGAAUUUUCUACUCAAUCAUGUAACAUGCACUCUCUUUGCUGAACAGCUCAAAUGGCCGAGGCUGUACUUAUUGCUGUGACGAAGAUUGGUUCCAUUUUAGGAGAUGAAGUCAUCAAGGCCAUCAUAUCCGAGCUCUCUGUAAAAGUUACUAAUCUGAAAGAACUGCCGGUAAAGAUUGAGCAAAUAAGGCAGCAACUGAAUAUGAUGAGUAAUGUAAUAAUGCAGAUAGACACUGUAUACCUGAUGGACAAAGGGGUCAAGGAUUGGAUUGGGGAAGUCCGCAACGUGGCCUACCAUGUUGAAGAUGUAAUGGAUAAAUACUCAUACCAUGUACUUAAACAUAAGGAACAAAGUCGCCUGAAGAAAUUGUUGAAAGGAAAAGAUUAUGCAGUUUUCAGUCAAAUUGCGGAUGAGGUAGUUGCUGUAGAGGAGGAGAUUGAGCAAGUUGUAAAGUUGAAAGAACGUUGGUUGCAGCCCUUCCAGCUUGUCGCUGACCCACUUACUGAGAUUGAAAGACGGCGGUCCCAGGACAGCUUCCCUGAAUUUGUGAAAGAUCAAGAUCUAGUAGGAAUUGAAGAAAACAGGAUGUUGCUGACCGGAUGGCUGCACUCUGAAGAGACGGAGAACAAUGUGAUAACAGUAUCAGGCAUGGGCGGGUUGGGAAAAUCUACCUUGGUUUCAAAUGUUUAUGAACGUGAAAAGAUCAAGUUCACUGCACAUGCAUGGAUCGUUGUGUCACAAAUUUACACUGUUGAUGCUCUGUUGAGGAAGAUACUAUGGAAGAUUGGAUACACCGAAAUACCAUUGUCAGCAGGCAUGGACAAAAUGGACAUAUAUGACUUGAAAAAGGAAAUAGAGAAGAUGCUUGAAAAUAGAACAUAUCUGAUUGUACUUGAUGAUGUCUGGGAGCAGGAGGUAUACUUCAAAAUAUGUGAUGCUUUCCAGAAUCUCCAAGGAAGCCGCAUAAUCAUUACGACACGGAAGGACCAUGUUGCAGGAAUUUCUUCUCCCACCCGUCACCUCGAGCUCCUGCCAUUGAGCAAUCCUGAUGCAUUUAAGCUCUUCUGUAGAAGGGCUUUUCACAACAGGAAGGACCACACAUGCCCCAAGGAUCUUGAGACAAUUGCUGCUUCUAUUGUUGAAAAGUGCCAUGGCCUGCCUCUAGCAAUUGUUACCAUUGGGAGCAUGUUGUCUUCAAGACAAAAUUUAGAUGUUUAUAAGCAGAAGUACAAUCAGCUUGGACACGAGUUGUCAAACAAUGAUCAUGUCCGAGCAAUUUUAAAUCUGAGCUACCAUGACCUUUCAGACGAGCUCCGAAACUGCUUCUUGUACUGCAGUCUCUUCCCUGAAGACUACCCCAUGUCAAGUGACAGCCUUGUGAGGCUGUGGGUUGCGGAAGGCUUUGUGCAGAGUAAGGGAAAGAACACGCCAGAGAUGGUAGCUGAGGGAAAUCUCAUGGAGCUGGUCCAUCGCAAUAUGCUUGAGGUGGUGGAGUAUGAUGAGCUUGGUAGGGUCAGCAUCUGUAAGAUGCAUGAUAUUAUGCGUGAACUAGCUAGUUCUGUUGCUAAAGAAGAGAGAUUUGCUUCAACAGAUGAUUACAACACAGUGAUGGAUAUUCGUCGUCUGUCAUCAUGUGAAUGGAAAGAGGACACUGCCCUGAAAGCUAAACUUUCACAUCUUCGAACAGUAGUGUCAGUAAUUCCAUCCUCGCCUGACAUGCUAUCAUCAAUUUUAUCUGCAUCGAACUACCUUACUGUCCUUGAGCUGCAAGACUCUGAAAUAACUGAAGUGCCAAAAUCGAUUGGGUCUCAGUUCAAUCUGCGUUAUAUUGGGUUACGGCGCACCAAGGUCAAGGCACUUCCGGACACUAUUGAGCAUUUGUCUCGCCUCCACACCCUCGACAUCAAGCAAACCAAAAUAGAGAAGCUACCACGAGGGCUUUUCAAGAUCAAGAAGCUGCAACAUCUUUUCGCCGAUAGAUUUGUUGAUGAGAAGCAGGUAGAGUUUCGGUACUUUAAUGGAAUGCAAGCACCUAAAGAGCUGUCCAACUUGGAAGAACUGCAAACUCUUGAGACCGUGGAAUCCAGUAAUGACUUGGCCGAGCAGCUGAAGAAACUGAUGCAACUAAGAAGUUUGUGGAUUGAUAACAUUAGUGCCGCUGAGUGUGCAAAUCUGUUUGCUACCCUUUCAAAUAUGCCACAUCUUUCAAGCUUGCUUCUUUGUGCAAGGGAUGAGAAUGAGGAACUUUGCUUUGAGGCUCUCCAACCAAGGUCUACAGAUCUACACAAGUUGAUUAUCAGAGGGAAAUGGGCCAAGGGGACACUAAAUUGCCCGAUAUUUCUGAAGCAUGGGACACAUCUCAAGUAUCUAGCUCUAAGCGGGUGUCACCUUGUGGAAGAUCCACUGGAGAUGCUCGCCCGGCACAUGCCAAAGCUCACGUAUCUGAGACUUAACAACAUGCAUGGUGCAAGCACUCUGGCUCUUUCUGCAAAUUCCUUUCCAAACCUGAAGACACUUGUCUUAAAGUGCAUGCAUGAUGUCAGUGAGCUAAACAUCAGUGAGGGCGCUCUUCCAUGCGUUGAAGGUCUGUAUAUUAUCUCGCUGCCGAAGCUUGACAAGGUCCCUCAAGGCAUUGAAUCCCUUCGCGCCCUUAAGAAGCUCACACUGCAGUGCUUGCACAAGGAUUUCAUAAGUCAAUGGGACACCAACGGAAUGCAUCAGAAGACCCUGCAUGUUCCAGAGGUUUAUGUCUAGAUGCAGCAGGUCGGUUCUUCCUGCGGUGUCGGUCUUGGAUGGUGCAUCUGUCAGUCACAGUUGUGCAGUACUUUUAAUCGUUCUAGUAAAUUUGUGAUUAUUGAUGUCGUCAGCAGGCAUUUGUCGGCACUUGUGUGUGUACCAUAUUUACUCCUCAAAAGUUUGGUUUCCAUUGCCUUCCAGAGGUCCCCGUCUGGUUUUAAGUCAUACUAUGUGCUAUUACUCAUUUCAUGUAAUGAUAUGUAUCAUUUCUGUCGAACACCUUCUGUGAAUAAUCAUGUCGAACAUUUCAUCUUAUAUGUGGAUAUAUCUUGAUCUUUGUCGCUGUAUGAGCCUAUGACCUGAUUCACCAAGAGGCAUUACACUGUCAUUUCAGCAGGUCGUGCAUUUGUGCGUUUUGCUGAUUAGGUGUUCAAAUUUCAGGCUAACAAUAUCUAGAGUUAGUAUCAUUUAUUAGUAGCACUUGUGGGUGUUUUGCGGGUAUUAGGUCCUCCAGUUUGAAGGGGACAGACUAAGCAUCAUUUUGGUUCAUCUUGAUAUGAUGCCUGACAGACACUAUGGAGAAGGAAGACAAAGUAUCAUUUUGCUCCAUGUUGACAAUAUGGAGCGGAAAACAGUUUUCCUGGACAUGAAUACGUCAUCCGUACUGUGAGACUAACUGAUAUCAGGAAAAUUGCAGUCAGAAAUGUCAAUAUAGUGAUGUUGUUUCCUGCCCCAGUUAAAGUCCCUGCUUCAGAGGCCAGGAGCCAGAGCUUGGUAGGAGUUCAGCAAGUGUGUUUUGCUACGUACGUACCAUCUUUUAGAGGACACAAGGAUCCAAAACUUGCAAUGGCAAUGCAACACCCGUCCGUUCAUGUCAGUUAUGGUGGUCUGCAUUCGAUCAUCCUGGUAUUGUUUGAGUGAACCGGUUGAAUUACACGAAACCGUGUGGUACAUAGUUUAAUGUUUUUUUACUGAUCGUUAUUCGCAACACCUGGUGAACCGAACCUAUGAAUCCACCUCUUUUUCUUGCUCUGUGGCCUUUGUAAAUUCUUUUUGGUUUGUUUGGGUGAUAGAAUAGCUUGCAAUUUUGUUCAUGUUGCAGCCAGUGGCUAGUCACAUGUUUCAUUGGGCCACAGCACAGCAGAACAGCUUGCGUGCAGUUGCGUUCAUUUUCAAGGUCCUUACGGUGAGAAAUCCUGUUGAUUCAGAUGCACUUGUUGUACUAACACUAGCUAGGAGUAGCAUGAUACGGUGAUACCCCCGCAAAUAUAAUCUGGGAAGUUCUUGGGGGUUGCGCUUGUGCACAGUUACAUGACAAAGCAUAAUGGCUGGAGUGAAAUGGCAGUACAAAUUAAGACCGACAUGACGGACGCCGAUACGAAGCCAGGGCGCGCGGUGGCACGAGCAGCACGACGCAGAGGGCCACGGCAUGCUGAAUCACGAGGAGAAUAUGUAAUUACGUGAAGACCCGUUGACUGAUCUUAAUUAAGUGAGCGCUGCAAAACAAUCUGUGGUUGGAAUGGUUAGAUGGACAGUGGUAUCCUAACCCAUCAGAAUUCGAGUCAUGGCGCUCGCAUUUAUCCUGGAUUUAUUUUAGGAUUUCCGGCGAUACGCUUUCAGUGGGAGUCGCAGUCUGUCUGUAGUUCAAAAAAUUAAAUAAGCAAGCGAUGCACACGUUGGAGAAGGAGAAAAAUAUAUGACGACAUUUUAAUCAUGUGACACUACUAAAACCUUAAGAAAAAAACUUGUAUUUUGGACCUCAUUUUGACAAGUUUUUCUUUGCGGUAAAACCUCUAAUCUAUUCAUAGUUUUUUUCCGUUAAACCUCCAAUUUAUUCAUCAUUAAACAUGACAGUGUAAUGAAUACCAGAAACAAAAAAAAAGGUCAUACAGAUUCGUAGACCACCUAGCGACAAACUUCAAGCACUGAAACGAGCUGAAGGCGUGCCACCGCCAUCGCCCUUCCUCAUUGGAGCCGGGGAAAUUUUAUUGUACUAGAUAGUCGAGAAGUCGUCGUGCUAAAGACCAGAUUCACAUGGAUUCACCGAAGACAAACGCCGACCGAAUAUCGUGAGAUCCGUCAGAGACAAAUAUCCACACACCCUCAGAUUACGCUAGAAGCACCACCGAAACGAGGGCUAGGCAGGUAGGCUUUUAUUUCAUCUUUAAAGAGCCGCCGCCGCCUCGUCUCUCUGAGCAGGACACAAACCCUAAGAAAACUCAGAAAAUCAUCUAAAACCAAAGCCCUCCCGCCGGCAAGGACCGGGAUCCACCACGCCUUCAUGGCCCAAGGCCAAAGGAGACGAGGUAGACCGGCAAUGACGCCGGAGGGAGGCAGGAGAAGUUAGAACGACACGAAAAAAAUGUCAAUGACAUAUAAAACAAAAUGUUGUCAUGUCAAAAUUUAUCAUGUAUUGUACAUUUUCUCUAAAAAAAUGUAUUACCCAUACCAGAAAAAAAAUAUAUAGAAAAAACAAGAAAAAGAAUUUGACAUACUAAUUUUUUUUAUAAUUCAACAUGCUAAGGAUUUCAUAUAUAGCACACAGCUAAAAAACACAAAUGUAUAUGGCAGAAACUGCUAGUUGCAAAAAAGUGAAUAAAAAUAGUAUUUUUACUAGAAAUGCCUUCAUAUAAAAUCAUACAUGGUAAAUUUGAAAAACCGUAUAAAAUGAAAUAGAAAAAAAUUCAUGCACUUAAUAAAAAUAUAAAAAGGUCAUGCUCUUAGUGAUAAAAAAAUGUCAUGCCCUUGCUAACAAAAUUGGUAAGCUCUACAAAAAUAAGAAAAUGUCAUGCUCUAUAGAAAAAAUGCCAUGCUCUUUAUAAUUAAAGGCUACGCUCCACAAAAAGUUGCCAUGCUCUUAAAAACUGCCAUGAUCUUAAUAACAAAAAUGACAUGCUCUUACAAAUAAAAAUUUCAUGGUGUAUACAAAUGCAUGCCAUGCUCUUUCUAAUAAAAAUGUCAUGCUCUUAAUAACAAAAAUGACACGCUCUUGAAAAUAAAAAUGCCAUGGUAUGUACAAAUGCCAUUCUCUUUAUAAAAAAAUGCCAUGCUCUUUAAGAUAAAAAUGCCAUGCUCUUAAUAACAAAAAUGACAUGCUCUUAGAAAUAAAAAUUUCAUGGUAUGACAAAUGCCAUGUUUUUUAUAAUAAAAAUGUCAUGCUCUAGAAAAAAUAAUGCAAUGCUCUUAAUAACAAAAAUGUCAUGCUCUUAAAAAUAAAAAUGUCAUGGUGUAUACAUUGUAAAACUAGAUCAUAAUUGGUGUGCAUUGUCACGCCCAUCCAUUAUUUCAAUAGAAUGAUGGAAUUUUCCAUGAAUAUACAGACAAAAUAUGAAAGUUCAAUUUGCAUCGGAAGGAGAAGUGAGGGGAUCCCGCUGUAGUGAAAAAUGAGUUGAGAACAUAUAGAAUGACGCAUAGGGCCGCAACCACGACCGCCAUCUUAGGUCAACUCCAAUGGGACAAUGCAUUACAUCCGUCCACAUCUGUUUCUGUCCACAUCGGCAGAAACCACAUCCCAACGCGGUGGUUGUGUCUGCUUUGAUCCAUUUCCAGCUCAAAUUUGAGUUGUCCGUUGUGUGUGUAUAUUUCGUAAGCAAGCGCCACAAAUCAUUCCAAAAUUCAACGGCUGGGAACUACUACUUGUGACGAAAUCGACAAGAGGACUAAGCAACUCAAGGAUACAUUCCCAACACACAAAACUUGGCAUAGACAAUACACAAGACCAUGGUAACACGGACAACACUGCGCACACACAUAACGCUGUAAGGACAAUCUCGCAAUAACACACACACACACACACACACACACACACACACACACACACACACACACACACACACACACACACAAAGCACAAAGCACACAAAGCACACUGCUUCACCUAUAGAGCACAUAAUACAUGUCUAGCUCACAUCCAUAUUCCAGCUGCUUGCUGCUGGAGUCGUCCGCUCUGACAUCCCAACUUCUGAUUUUGAACAGAAAACAGAAAGCAACUCUGAAAAUGCAGUAAACUGAACACUGCACUAUCGAAUUCAGAAGCAUGGCGGGGUUGGGCGCUCGGAGAGGGCGGAUGGUGUGCUCACUCCAAGCCUAAUUCCAGAUCUGGGGACAUAGGUGACGCGGUGUCGUACGAUGUGGCAUCGUUGGAGGUAGAGGACGAGGACCGUGGUGGCAUAGUUGGCUCCUGCCGCUGCUAAUGUCGACAUUUUUUCUUCAGUUUAUACGUUUUGUACUUGAGGACAAGUGCCAACAAGGCAACCGCAAGACCAAGGAGGUGCUCAAGGUGUUGAGAGGUGGUGAUAUGCCUGAAGAGUGGAACAACACCAUGAUAGUUCUGAUUCCAAAAACAACUAGACCAGAGAGAUUGAAGGACUUGCGACCCAUUAGCCUCUGCAAUGUGGUCUACAAACUAAUAUCAAAGGUAAUCACCAGAAGAUUAAAAAACAUUUUACCUGAAAUAAUAUCCCCCAAUCAAAGCGCAUUUGUGCCUGGACGCAUGAUAUCUGACAAUAUUCUUUUAGCAUAUGAAAUGACUCACUUUUUGCAGAGGAAGAGGGGUGGAAGAGUAAGUUUUGCUGCUAUCAAACUUGACAUGAGCAAGGCUUAUGAUCGAGUUGAAUGGAAGUUCUUGCAAGGAAUCAUGUUGAAACUCGGUUUCAAUGGAAGUUGGGUGCAACUCAUGAUGAAUUGUGUGACAACGGUGAAAUACCAAAUCAAAGUUAAUGGGGACGUCACAGAGAUAAUUAUUCCUGAGAGGGGGCUUCGUCAAGGUGACCCUUUCUCUCCAUAUCUCUUUCUUUUAUGCGCUGAGGGCUUCUCGGCCAUGUUACAAAAUGCUGAGAUGAAUGGGAGGUUGAUAGGAAUCAAAUUAUGUAAUACAGCCCCAAGCAUAAGUCAUCUUCUUUUUGCAGAUGAUUCACUUCUUCUCCUAGAAGUAAAUGCCGUCAGCAGUCGUGAGCUUAAUCAAAUUCUGAACUCCUAUGAAGCUUGCUCGGGCCAGGCUAUAAAUAAGGAAAAGUCAGCCAUCUUGUUCAGCAAGAAUACAAAGCUGGAGGACAAAGAGGAGCUCAUGAAUCAACUCAAUAUUGUUAUAGAAGGCUUCUCGGGAAAAUAUUUGGGUUUACCAUGCUAUAUUGGUAGAUCAAAAACCAAAGCUUUUGAAUAUAUCAAGGAAAAAGUAUGGAAAAGGUUACAAGGUGGGAAAGAAAAAUUGCUCUCAAAGGCCGGUAAGGAAGUCCUCAUCAAAGCUGUAGCGCAAGCAAUCCCUGUUUAUGUGAUGGCAUCUUUUGACCUCACCAAAUCUCUAUGUGAAGAUGUCAGCUCAAUGAUUGCGAGGUUUUGGUGGAGUCAAUUGGAUAAAGAAAAUAAAAUCCACUGGGUUGGAUGGGACAAGCUGACAAAACCCAAAAAGGAUGGAGGGCUGGGAUUUAGAGACCUAUAUUCUUUCAACUUAGCUACGUUGGCAAGGCAGGCUUGGAGAAUGCUGCAAAACCCAUCUUCCCUAUGCGCUCAAGUGAUGGCUGCUAAAUACUAUCCAAAUCAGAAUCUAUUACAAGCGAGGCCAAGAGAUGGCAUUUCAUAUAGUUGGAGAAGCAUUUUGAAAGGAGUGCGGGUGUUGCAAAGUGGAAUCAUAUGGAGAGUAGGAGAUGGACGCAGUAUCAAUAUAUGGGCAGAUCCUUGGCUACCAAGGGGUGUUUCUAGGAGAGUAAUGAUGACCCGCAAGUAUACGGGAUAGUUGUAGCCUCUUUCGAUAAGUGAGAGUGUCGAACCCAACGAGGAGCUAAAGGUAGAACAAAUACUCUCUCAAGUCCCAUCGGCCACUGAUACGACUCUACGCACGCUUGACGUUCGCUUUACCUAGAACAAGUAUGAAACUAGAAGUACUUUGUAGGUGUUGUUGGAUAGGUUUGCAAGAUAAUAAAGAACACAUAAAUAUAAACUAGGGGCUGUUUAGAUAAACAUGCAAUAAAGUAAAUAAAGCGAGUGUGGAAAAGUGGUGGUAGGAGUUGUGAAAUUGUCCCUAAGCAACUGACUACGUUACUAGACCGGUAAUCACUAUUGCAAUUCUAUUUGAGGGAGAGGCAUAGGCUAACAUACUUUCUCUACUUGGAUCAUAUGCACUUAUGAUUGGAACUCUAGCAAGCAUCCGCAACUACUAAAGAUUCAUUAAGGUAAAACCCAACCAUAGCAUUAAAGUAUCAAGUCCCCUUUUAUCCCAUACGCAAACAACCUACUUACUCGGGUCUGUGCUUCUGUCACUCAUGCCACCCACCAUAAGCAAAUCAUAAAUAUAUUGCAAACCCUACAGCGGGAAUCCCUCACGCUUGCGUGACAAGGAGGGCACAAUAGGACAGCACCAAUAAUAAAACAUGCAACUCAAACCAAUCAUAGCAAUUCAUCAAUCACCGAUAGGACAACAAAAAUCUACUCAGACAUCAUAGGAUGGCAACACAUCAUUGAAAAAUAAUAUGAAGCAUAAAGCACCAUGUUCAAGUAGAGGGUACAGAGGGUUGCGGGAGAGUGGACCGCUGUAGAUAGAGGGGGGAAGGUGAUGGAGAUGUUGGUGAAGAUGGCGGCGGUGUUGGUGAAGAUCGCGGUGAUGAUGAUGGCCCCGGGCAGCGUUCCGGCGCCACCAGAAGCAAGGGGGAGAGAUCCCCCCUUCUUCUUCUUCUUCCUUGACCUUCUCCCUAGAUGGGAGAAGGGUUUCCCCUCUGGUCCUUGGCUCCCAUGGCUUGGGAGGGGCGAGAGCCCCUCCGAGAUUGGAUAUAUCUCUCUGUUUCUGCGUUCUUAGAUUCUGCCCCUUCACCGUUUUUUUAUAUCCGGAGAUCCGUAACUCCGAUUGGGGUGAAUCUUUCGCCCAGAUCUUUCUCAUAAAAUUAGAUUUCUUGCAGCAAAAUAAGAGCGUUAACCGCCUUACGGGGGGCCCAGGAGAGUCCAGGGCAUGCCUGCCUCCCUGGGGCGCGCCCCCUAUCUCCUGACUCCCUCGGGCACCGUCUCGCGUUGAUUUUACUUCCCAAAAAUCACAAAUAUUCCAAAAUAAUUCUCCGUCCGUUUUAUCCCGUUUGGACUCCGUUUGAUAUUGGGUUUCUGCAAAACAAAAAACAUGCAACAGACAGGAACUAGCACUGGGCAUUGGAUCAAUAUGUUAGUCCCAAAAAAAUAGUAUAAAAAGUCGCCAAAAGUAUAUGAAAGUUGUAGAAUAUUGGCAUGGAACAAUCAAAAAAUGUAGAUACGACGGAGACGUAUCAAGUAACAUCUCAACAAGGCAGCCAUGUUAUCACAAAGGUUUCAGAUUUGAUUGACCCUACCUCUGGCACAUGGGAUUUACAACUAAUUGAUCAAACUUUCAACAAAGAAGAUGUAGAGGUAAUUGUCCAAAUUACGAUCCGAGAGGGCGCUAAGGACACUCCUGCCUGGCAUUUUGACAAAAAUGGUAUAUUUUCAGUAUAAUCUGCAUAUCAAGUAGUGUUGGAAAACCAAGCCAGGAACUCUGCACAUGGUGGAGCUUCGUCAUCAAGCAAGAAUGAUCAGCAUAGGAUAACAUUUUGGAAGAAACUAUGGACGUUGCCCUUGCCCAACAAGAUCAUGCACUUCCUAUGGCGACUGGCCCAUUAUAGCUUACCUCUAAGAAUGAAACUACAGAAUAGAGGAAUGGAAGUGGAUACAAGAUGUCCAGUAUGCCAUCGAAUGGAUGAAGAUGGAGGUCAUUGUUUCCUAAAGUGCAAAUUUGUCAAGGCCGUUUGGAGAACUGCAUUGUUGGAAGAAACUCGGAUGCAACUUCUCAAUUGCCCAAAUGCCAUCUCGAUGGUGGAGGAUAUCUCUGAAAGUAUGCAUCCUUUUGUGGUUAUGGUGGUCUGAAAGAAACAAAGCUAAUCAAGGAGAAAGGAAUAGGACUGAAGAGGAAAUUAUAUAUUUAGUUCAGCUGCACUUGUUGGAAUACAAAAAAUACAUCAAGCGACGGGAGCAAAAUGUGCAGGCUGUAAACCAGGUUUGGUGUCCUCCCCUUGAUGAUUUUCUUAAAAUUAAUACUGAUGGAGCCUUUAGGAUGUCAACUAAAUCAGGAGGGUGGGGUUUUACCAUAAAAAAUAAUCAUGGAAUUGCACUAGUUGCAGGAGCAGGGAGUUUGGAAAAUGUUGCUGAACCACUACAAGCUGAAGCUCUGGCCAUGCUCUAUGCUGUGAACGAAGCGUCAAGAAUGGGGUGCCAAAAAGUCAUCUUAGAGACGGAUGCAGUUGCUCUAAAGCAGGCAAUCACAAGCGACCUGUACGACUACUCAAGCCUAGGCGUGCUGUUUAAAGAGAUAAGAGCAGUGUUCAGUCAGCUUUUCAAUCUUGUAAAGUAGAAACCUGCCCACGGGCAUGUAAUAUUUCUGCACACUGUUUAGCUGCUCAUGGUGUAUGUAUGGAGCGGAAGAGCUAUCAGAUUUGGCUUGAUCCAUUUCCGAGCCAUGUAACAAAACUUGUCGCGGGCGAGUCUAGCUUGCCUUGGUAAUGGAAUACACUUCUGUUUCUAAAACAAGGCAACCGCAAGGACCACGCAACCAAGAGGGUGGUACUGUUGCUCUCAACCUUCCCAAUGGCCGAGCAUGUGCACUCAUCGGUUGUUCGUAGCCAAGAUAUGUGCAUGCAUGACUCUAGUUGAGUUGAGGUUGAGGCUCUCCUUCCACACCAUAAGUCAGGGGGCUCUAGCCCCCCCUCCCCCCCUUUCAAAAUUCCACACUGUUUACCUUGAACAAUUUUUUAUGUUUCAGUACUGAAAGGAUCGAUACGGUCGACUAGAGGGGGGGGGGGUGAAUAGGAGACUACAAAUUUUAAUCUUUCUUGUAGAUUUUAAGGCUUAGCGGAUAAAAGAGUUCACUAGAUAUGCAACUAGGUGAAUGCAACCUAUAUGACAAGCAAGCUCCAAGAUAAAUAUACUAGGCAAUAAACUACUUAGCAAGCCAACAAGCAUACAACAACAAGGAAAGGUGCGGGAAAGGAUUAACCACAAGUGAGACGAGGACGCGGAUUUUAACCCGAAGUUCACUCUUCCUUGGGGAAGAGCUAAUCUCUGUUUGGAGCGGUGCCGGAGCCAAAGCUUGCGGAACGCCACCAAAGGCUCACCGUAUUCUCCUUCGAGUCACCCCCAACGGAUGAGCCUCGAAACACUCGGGGUUGGUCUUGAAGGCGACCACCACACCUUUACAAACUUCUCCGGAGCACACCACAAGCAAGGAAGCUUCCGGAGGAACCUCUAGCCCCCUAGGAGCCCAAGCUCCAAGAGUAACAAGUCAAUGGGGAAGAAAUGUUGCGGGGAACACAAUUUGGUUUGGUCAAGAUGUAGAUCGGGUCUUGCUCUCCCAAUCCCCAAAGUUUCAACAAGUUUGGGUGGAGGGAUUGAGAGUAUUGAGCAAAAGGGGGUGUAGCAAUGGUGGAGCUCAACAAGACAUUAGGGUUGGAGGUUGGAUGUGGAAGAAGGGCCUUUAUAUAGUGUUCAGGGGCUGGUGGGGAUUUCUGCCCGUUGGACCCCGUGCGCACGGGCUAAGUCAGCCCCGUGCGCACAGGGUACUCAGAGACAAUCAUGCCACCCCGUGCGCAGGGGGUACCCAGAGAGUUACGCAGUACCCCGUGCGCACGGGGGUCAAAAGACCCCGUGCGCACGGGGUACCCAGUAGCUUUCUGUUGCAACUUUCUGAGUACCAUAGCAUACACACUAGGUCCUUAUUAGGUGGUCGGAGUGGGAAGGGUAAGAGAGUAAGGCUCGGCAAUGGCAUUCCCACACGACAUUUAUCCACACAAACCCCUCUUAAUAGUGCGGUCUUUCCUACGACUCGAAGCAAACCAAAACUAAACCUUCGAAGCGUCGAAAGACAACGCCUUUGUCCUUCUUGAAAUGGGGGGUCGCACAUCUCCAUCUGGGCACUUAGAACCAAUAACCUGAGAUAAACUUUAGCAACCGAUAUUAGUUCAACUAACCACAUUGUCAUCACACCAAAAUAAAGCAUAAGUGCCACUCGCACUUUCAAUCUCCCCCUUUUUGGUGCAUUGAUGACAACGUGGUUAGAGCAUGGCAUAGAGGAUAAAUAGAUAGAAAGCCAUGGAACAAAUAAUGAUCAUGAUAGCUCCCCCUAUAUAUGUGCCCGAAAACAAGAAUGCAUCUAGAACACCCAUAGGAGGUUCGACCAAGAUCAUUAUUGAAAAGUCAUGAGAUUCAACAAAAUAAACCUAUAACGGUGCCUAGAACUCAUGACACAGUGUGAUGAGCAAAUAAUGUGAGACCCAAUAAGCAUAAGAGGAUAAUGGCAAGGUUAAAUAAUAAAGCUAGAGUCUCACAACCACACAGACAGAAGGUAAAUAAGAGUAUCUCAAGCCAACUAAAACCAACCAACAGCGAGAAACACGAGGCUUGAGAUCUCAACACACCCACGAACGCACACCACACACCACUUCUCCCCCUUUGUCACCAAGACAACAAAAAGGAGAUAAAUGGCAACACGGGACCCAUUAGACAAGAGGAGGAGCACUCGAGGCAUCAUUAUCAUCAUAAAAACGCCACCCGGCCAUGGGGAAAGAUCGAGCAGUGGCCUCACUGUCGACGUCCUCUGAACCUGGACCGAUUUCCUCACCAGCAGCAGCCCUUGCUGCCUUCUACUCACGUCGAACAAGCUUCUCCUUGUUGAUUUCCUUGAUCUGACGAUGCUGAAUCGACUGACACAUCUUGAACAUGUUGCUCAAGGUCUUGAACAGUGACUUCUUCUCUCCCUUGGCAAAGAUGGCCUCAGAGCCAACAGACUUGGCCCGACCACGAGGGAUCCGUGCAGUAGAGGACAUGCCUGGAGUGUAGGUAGCACGAUCCUCAGGCCUAGGGUUGCGCCCCUUCUUGAUAGGCACAUAAGGAGCAGGAGCAGCUGGGGUCCAGUUGGAGUUGCGCUUGAGAACAGAAGUCUUGAAGCUGGCAAUGUACUUUGCUGGACAGACGGUCUCAAUUAAUGCCUGUAUGAAAGGAGCAUAGAUCAAGGACUUGUUCUCUUGUACACACUGAUGCAGCUCGUAGUACAUGAAAUCCAGAACAUCCACUUUCUUCUUCUGAUGAAGAUACACAAAGACAUCAAGCAUGGAGCUCCGAAUGUUAUGGGAAUCCCCGGCCUUUGGAGUGAGGGUAUACCUCAGGAUAUGGCGCAUGGUAUCAUAGAGGGGCAAGAGGUCUUUGAUUGACCCAGUGACAAAUGACUUCUCUUGUUUGUAAGCAAAGGCAAUCUCAUCUUUAGUGCGCUGCCCACUUUCCUGAACAAUGCCAAACUCAUCAGAAACGGUCUCUUCAUCCAUGAACGGGUAGGGAAUGAUCUCAGAGAACUUUGCCAUAGGAGCUGAGCACUGAUGCGUUCCAGACAUCCAUGUGAGGGUGCGAGCAGAAUCAUUGGAGAAGUACAGAGUGGCAAAGAACUGCAUCACUAGAUCUUCAUUAUAGGGGUGGUUGAAGGUGACAAACGGAAUCAGACCCAGUCGUCCAAGAGCGGAGUACACACCGGGAUACAUAUGAUCGUUGUCGCGCAAACUCUCAGUGUUGACUUGCUUGUGAGGAGCAAACUUCUUUGACUUGGUCAUAAGAAGCUCAUGAUAGACCCUUUGCUGAAACUCAUUCUUGAACCGGGGAUCCACUCCCAUACCAGUGGUAGCAACAUACGGAUGGCUCUGUCUCUCAGCCCAGAUCUCUGGCUUGGUCCACUUGAUAAGAGGCAAAUUCCGGAGAUCACGCCCGCCCGGAAUGGCUUGCUCCGGACUAGACUCCUCAUCCUCUUCUUCAUCUUCCUCACCACGAUCAUCUUCUUCUUCUAUCUCAUCAUCAUUAUUUGGAUUGGCAUAGUAAACAUCAUCUUGCGAGUCAUAUUCUUCCUCAGGAUUAUCGGAAGCCUCUACAACGGGCCGCUUUGAGGCAGCACGGCGAACACGGCCCUGACCAGACCCAGACCCCUGACCCAUGCCUUCAGACGGCUGACGACGAGCAAUGGUGAAGUCCUCUAAUCCUAUUUUUCCACGCUUGCGACGAAGCUCAGACCUCUUGUCAGCGGAGUCUGAAACACACGCAAACACCCAACAACACAAAGCACGAAACAGAAAUGAGUACAAGUGCAAGAUGAAUGGCAAGGAGAUAGACAAAAAUCUAGGCAAAAGUUCCUGGAUAGCCCGUGCACACGGGGGUUUAGACCCCGUGGGCACGGGGGUCCCGUGCGCACGGUACAGGACCAUGGGCACGGGGCCCCGUGCGCACGGGGUUCAAACACCCUGUGGACACGAGGGUCUCCCAGCAGCAGCCACUACCAGAAUGAACUCCGGGAGUGGGUGUAGCAGAGGGACCAGAGGAUCUAAGCACUAGACUUCUAUCUACUAACAGUUGAGACCAAACGAACCUAGGGAGCAAAGAAACCCUAAAGCUAGAGAAAAAGAUAGGUACACAAGGAGAUAGAUCAAGGAGGCAAGACCAACCGGAGGAGGACCCCAUCUGGAUGCAGAUCCACUAAGGAAGAACCCCGACGAAGCCCGGAGGAGCUCCGGCAAGGGGAGGCGACGGCGGCGGCGCUGGAGGCUUUCUGGGGAGUGGAGGGGGCGAAUGGGUGGAAAUGAACCCGAGCCCCCCCCCCCACGCCCCACCUCCUCAGGACCAGAAACCGCAGACCCCGUGCACACGGGCUAAGAGAUCCCCGUGCGCACGGUACAGAGCCCGUGGGCAUGGGGGCCCCGUGUGCACGAUACAGGCCCGUGCGCACGGGGUAAUCAGGAACUUUGACAUGAGUGGAUUUGUUUUAAAUACAGGGCUGAGUGUAUACUCUUACCCCUACUUCAUAAAGCACUCGGUCUACAUUUCUGAAUACGCCGCGAGGAAAGACCUAUCACUAUGGAAAGGGUAUAUGUGGAGCACUUGUACCAAAAGAUAAGCAAGGAGAACCAAACAAAAAGGAGGAAAAGAAACAACACACCACACAAGCGAAACAAACACGGACACAAUCCUCAAGCGUGGGCGGUGGCCGAGGCCACCAUGUUUGAGUUUACUUGGUAUGGCACCGCGAAGAUAUGAACCUUGGGCCCAAGACCAAUACUCAUCUUUGAAGCACAAGUACCACCUAAAGUGGCUAAUGUGAAAGAUUGAGUCUGUUUUAUGCACUUCCAGGAUAAGAUAGCUCAUGGGUUGAGCUAGCUCCCCCUAUACAUGUGCCUACAUCUAAGCAAGAUAGUACAUGAGUAUGUGUGUAUGAGCAAGAGUUUCAUCCGAAGUUACUAAUAUCCAUGAUAUUUAGCUCAUGCCUUAACUCGCGGAAUCUUGCUUCGUCAAGGGGCUUGGUGAAAAUGUCUACAAGUUGAUUCUCGGUGUUGACAUGGAGUAACUCAAUGUUUCCCUUGGCCACAUGAUCUCUAAUGAAAUGAUGAGGAAUCUGAAAGUGCUAGUUAUCAACUAGGGGGGGUGAAUAGGCGAUUUUUAUGAAAGUCUUCAAAACUUGGAAGUUUCGAAGACAAACAAUAGAAAUGACCUAAUUGAUAUGCAGCGGAAGAUAAACUACGACAAGCAAACCAUAGUCAAGUAUGCAAUGAGGUGAAAGUACAAGACUAAUAGCAGAUAAGUAGUAAGGAUCAGGAUGGAAGAUAGUAUGAAGCCAAUCAACGAUAGUAGUCAAGCAAUGAAGUCAAACAGGUACGACAGAUAGACAGUGACUACACGAAGAAAAACUUAAGUAAAGGAAGGGAGAGGAUGGAACCAGUCACUUGUUGAAGACACGUGAUUUGUUGGACCAGUUCCAGUUGCUGUGACAACUGUACAUCUGGUUAAGGAGGCUAAGAUUCAACUCAGAAGACCGCGUCUUCACCUUACUCCCCUUGAGCUAAGGACACACAGUCCUCGCCCAAUCACUCUGGUAAGUCUUCAAGGUAGACUUCCGAACCUUCACAGACUUCGUUCACCGGCAAUCCACAAUGACUCUUGGAUGCUCAGAACGCGAUGCCUAACCGGCUGGAGGAUUCACAGUCCUCAAGUGUAAUAAGUCUUCAGGUCACACAGACAGAAAGACUUCAGUGAUGCCUAACACUCUUUGGCUCUGGGUGUUUGGGCUUUGUCCUCGCAAGGAUUUCUCUCUCAAAGGCUUCGAGGUGGGUUGCUCUCAAACGACAAAAUCCGUGCACUAACUCUGAGCAGCCACCAAUUUAUGGUGUAGGGGGUGGGCUAUUUAUAGACACAAGGCAACCCGACCUGAUAUGUCCGAAAUGACCCUGGGUCACUAAGGAACUGACACGUGUUCCAACGGUCAGAUUUCAAACACACACGGCAACUUUACUUGGGCUACAAGCAAAGCUGACUCAUCCAGCUCUGGAUAAGAUUUGCUCUCAUUGUCUUCGCUCGAAGACAUAGGAUUUGGGUUGAGCAUCACUUCAGUCAUUCUGACUUUGUUCACUUGGACCCCACUUAACAGUACGGUGGUUCCUAUGACUCAACAAAGAAGAAAAAGGAAACGACGAGACGACACAGUCUUCGCGCUCCAUAGUCUUCACUCAAUGUCUUCUCAUGUCAUAGUCUUCAAUAUGAAUAUCUUCAUAUUCCACCAUUGUCUUCAAUGUCUUCAUAUAUUUUUAGGGGUCAGCUCCGGUAGGUAAACCGAAUCAAUGAGGGACACUACCUACGUUAUCCUGCAAUUCUCACAAACGCAUUAGUCCCUCAACCAACUUUGUCGUCAAUACUCCAAAACCAACUAGGGGUGGCACUAGAUGCACUUACAAUCUCCCCCUUUUUGGUGAUUGAUGACAAACUGGUUGAAGUUUUCAACGGGGAUAAAGUAUGUGAAAUUGUAAAGGAUAGGGUAUUGUCUUCAUAAGUAGCAAGGGCUCCCCCUGAAGAUGUGCAUAUAAGUAAUUUGCUUUUGGAAUGCAAAUGCACAUGGCAGGUUGUACUUGUGGAGAUCCACUUCAACUUAUGAAGAUAAUUCAUCAUGCAUGAAAUGAUAUAGCAAAUAGAAUGACAUGUAUAAUGAAAAAUGGAAGUCUGCAGAAUGAUCUAAGUGCGGAAGUUAUCAUCGCACAUGCGGAAUUUAUCAUCGCAUCACAGUAAAGCAAAUAAGUAGCAGACGACCAUCGAGUUUAAGUGUUACAACUCAAAGAACCAAAUGUAUCAAAAGCGAGAGUUGUAGGCACGAGGCAAAAUAUAAAGCAACCGCCCAUAUGAACCCACUUGAAGACUAUCAGACUCAUAUGCUUCUCCCCCUUUUGUCAGUAAGGACCAAAAAGGUUUGAAGACAUAGAGCAUCUACUCGUCCUCAUGAGUAGGUGAAGCAGCAGGGUUGUCGUUGUUGUUUGGUGGUGCAGACGUACUUGGUGCAGUGUUGAUGCGUGCAGAAGUAGGGGGCGGUGAAGUAGCAUCAUCUUCAUCAUCGAUCACUCUGGCAUUCACAGUUGUCGCGGAGGAAGAAUAGUCAGAGUCUUCAAGGGAUGGAGUUCGACGUAGGACAACAGUCCGUGGAGGAGUGGAGUCAAACUUGAAUCUUUCAGUGAAGCCAUCGUCUUGAAGAUCUGCUUCAGCACUAAGCAGCGUCAAACUCUUCCAUGAUUGCCGACAAGUCUCGUGUGCGAGAAAUGCAUUCUUGGUGGCAAGAUUUCGAAUGCGAUUGACGUCCACCAAGAGGCUUUGCAUCUGUCUCUUGAGCCAAAAGUGAUGCUUAUCUUGUUUCUGAUGAAGUGCCACAAGAAGUUCUCGGUCAUUGAGAACGCGAGAGCGCUUCGGAGGCCUUUGGGAAAUGGUGCUUUCAGUAGCUUCAGUUUGUGCACGAUGAGGCAGACGAGUGUUCCCAGCCAUUGGAUAGAUACGUGUUACUGCUUGGACGCCUUCAAUGGGUUGAGUGAAGCUUUGGUGCUCGACAUUUUGAAGACAAAGAGGCUUCUUGUCAGGCUCAGAGUAUAUGGCUUCAACUAACAUAUCAACCUCUGGUAGAAAGAUCAGAUGAUUGCGAGCAGAGGGCUGAUAGUUGACAGAGGAGUGUCGCUUGAUGAGGCGCAUGACCCAUGGAGCAUAGAAUUUCAGGCCAAAAAGGUCAGAUCCAGACGCAGCAAGUUGCUGGAUGAAGAAUUCUUGUGAAUUGAAGCUGAUGCCAUUGAGGAUGUAAAAGACCAAUGUCUUCAUGGCUCCUUCAAGUUUGGUCGCUGAUGAAUGCCCUUUGAUAGGCCAUAGAGUUUGCCUGAUGAUGUGACAGAUUGUGCGAGGCAGAUACUCAAGGUCAUCAACAAAGAACUCCUUUGGGUAUUCAGUGUCAGAUGGCAAAGGCUUCAUCAUGCUCAACAUCUGGCUCAUGUUGGGUUCUGGCUUAUGGAAGAUGCUCUCCAGUGCAUUGCGGUGGAGUUGACAAUCAGGUUCAUACAGCUCUCCAGGAGUGGGUAGGCCUGUAAGCUCAAUGACGUCAAGAGCUUUGACUUCAUGAUGAACAUUUCCGGUCAUCCACUCAAGAACCCAUGUUUUUAUAUCCCUGUUGUAGCCGCGAAUGUGGAGGGUAGCAUAUAAUUGAAGCAAGAGUUCCUCAUUCCAAUGUUCUUUGUCUGUCACAAAGCUGAGUAGACCUGCAUCACGGAAGCAGUCAAGUGCUUCUUCUAAGCAUGGCAGUCCAGCAAUGGCUUCAGUGUUGAGGCGCAUAUGAGGGAAAAUGCGCCCUUGAUCAUACAGAAUGCAGGAGUAAUAGCUUCUCUGCUGAUAGCUCCAGAAAUGAUCAGAUGAUAUUCUUUGUUUGGAGUAGGGGUUCUUUGCGCUGUCAAAGAAGGUGUUGUGGCUUUUGAAGCCAUUUGCAUUGAAGGACCCUGUAGAGUUUGCAGUACCUGGGAACCUUGGCAGUCUUGGCUUUGGUUUCUGGACCUGAGGCCUAUGCUCAACAUGAUAAUCAAACUGAGGACCAGAGGCAGUAGGCGGAGGGACCAGAAUGGGCCAUCGGAUAGUGGUUAGCUGACCAUGAUUGUAUGCUUUCUCAAUUGUAUAGGGCCUUGGUGGCGGAACAUGAGCAGUGACAACAGCUGAGGCUUCAGGCUGCACAACAGACACUUGAGGAGCAGGUGCAGCAUUGGCUUCGGGCACACUGGUUGGUGCAGGCUCCACAUUCACUUCAGCCAUGAUUAUAUCAUUGGCUUCAUUUGUGUUGGUGGUGGCAGCCUCAGCAUUUUCAACCCCCACUUGAUUAGCUGGAGGGUCGGGCACUAGCACGUUCACAUCAGGAACAACUUCUGCAGUACUGGGGGGAGUAGGGACAUGUACGUCUUCUUGAUUGUCAUCGGCUGAUGCAGCCGGAUUGUCUUCAGCAGCUUGGGCUUCAGACACGGAGACGUUCAUAGUUGGAGUGGCUUCAGGAAACACUUGACGUGCAACAGGUUGGUGAUGCACUUCUCCUUCUGGAACGCUCGAAAGAGGGACUUGAGGCCUUUGUCCUUUGCGAAGCCUACGGAAUGCUGGCAAUGCCUUUGGAGAUGGAGUUGGCUGGGCCUCAAAGUCUUCUUCUUCUUGCACAGGUGGUGUGACUUGUGGUUGUUGUUGGGGAGUACUUGGGGAGUCUUGUUGCUGUGGGUGAUCAGCCCAUGAUGCAUCCUGAGCAAUUGGCGUCAGGGGACGACCAAUGCUGAUGAGUUCGCUGUUCAUGAGAACAGGCGAUGAUACCAAGUUGUGUUCGAUCUGAGGAAGAACUUCAUCAUCUUCAACAUUGUCAUGGUGACCAAUGUCUUCAGCAGCGGUGGGAUCGACUGCUGGAAUGUCUUCAGCUUCAUGAGCCUCUGUGGAAGCAGGCUCAUGAACUAUCAUCCGUCGUUCUUGGUGUUUAGAUGCAGGGCGAACCACUGAGAUAGGUUCAACAACUAAGGGCUCUGUGGGAGCAGCCCGAUUCUUCUUGGUUUUGCGCUUAUUCUUGGAGGGAGCAACAUCAGAGGCUUCAGUAUUCUUCCUUUUUCUGGCUUCAGCCUCGGCAGCCCUCGUCUUCUUCUGUUCUGAAGCGGUUGACAUGACCUUUGGCUUUGAGCCAGUCAUGCUGCUUGGGAAGAUUAUGCGAGGUGCUUCCUGCCCUGAAGGUGCAGAUUGAGCAGUAGAUAGCUUCUUCUUCUUUGCAGCCAUUCUGGGGUCAAUGCCAGGACGACCAAGAGACUUGCGCUUCUCAGCCUCAUUGUAGGCUAGCACACAUUUGUCAGCCAGACUCUUCAUACGCUCACGAGAGCCCUGAGCUUCUUCGCGCUUCUUGAGAAAGGCUUCUUUAAGCUCGUGCAGCAUGGUCUUGAAGUUUCUGACAUCUUGCACGCUGAGCUUUGCCACAUGCUUCUUGAACUGAGCUUUCUCAUAAUCAAUCUUGUGCUUCAGCUCAACGAUGCGCUGAGCGAGAGUAGCUCAGAAGCAAUGGCGCCAUUGAAGGAGACGCUGAGGCCAAUGGGAAGCUACAGAUCUUCAAAGCUGAGAUUUGGGGUGUCAAAUCACUCAUCAAUGAAGUUUUGGAUGAUUGCCACAUCGAAGAGAGGCAAGUUAUUGAAGAUCUCUGCUUCUUCCUUGCUCUUGAUCAGUUGCUCAAGGGCAUCAUCUGCAAGAUCUUCAUCGCUGGACAGAUCAAUGGGUUCUUCUCGCAGAAUGGCAGCAGGAGUCAAGGUCUGAUCAGUAUGCUUGAUGAUUUUAUUUGCCUUCUCCGUCUUCUUGAAGAUACGUGAUUGAUCUUCAGACUGCACACUGUCUUCAGGAGGUGCAGUGGCCAGUGGCUUCACACGUGAAGCUUUUGGAGGUGCAACUGAUCUUGAAGCCUUAGGCUUCUUUAGCUUCUGCGGCUUCGGAGGAGGAGCUGGGGCUUCAUUAGUGUCAGCAUCAUUAUCAGAAUGAUCCACUUUGGCACCUUGGACCAAGAUGUAAGUAAUGAGGCCAUCAAGGUUGGAGAAGGGGCCAAUGACAUUUGGAUCAGCAUCACGUGAGCCGUCAGCACGGGGAGCAGAGGGACCAGGGUUGAAGUCUAAUCCCAAUGACUUCUUGUUUUCCUUGGCCGAUGCCUUUGCGUGCUGGAAGUUGCGCUUGAUGAGAGUAUCGUCACGACACCAGAGCAAUGAUGAUGGGUCGGCAUUCUCAGGCUGAGGUCCACAGACCAUACAAGGAUAGAAACCCUGUGCAAUAGCUUCAGCUCUGUUCUUGGGUUGAAGGCCUCGAUAGAGAAUAUCACCCCAAGGACUUUUGAUAGCAUUCUUCUCUGCAUAUUCCUGGGUCACGAACUUGUACUUGAACCAUUCUUCAGCCCAAUAGCGUCAAAUCCAUUGGAUUCGUGUCUUGCGCCGAUGAUAAUUCUCCUCAGGAUCUGUCUUGUAAAGUUCUGCGAGGUCAUCAGGCAAAUAUUUUGAUGUUCCCCCACGACGCUGUCUGCCACCCUUCCUUACAGAUUUCUCUGCGGCCAUGAACUUCAAACUGAAUGGCUUCAAUACGUUCAAAGGCUUCAAAGACUUUCGCUUGCUGGACAAACAUGAACUGGCUUCGGGAGAGUUAAUGUGAUGCUGUAAGAAUUCUGCAAAUGAAUGCAGACUAUAAGAACCAAAGGAUUCUCCCACGGACAUGUACCUGUGACAGCAUUAGAGAUGCGAGGGAAGGGGAAGAGGUCAUAUGCAUUCUCAGAAGAUUUUGAAGAUAAAUCGGUUUGAAGACAUUGACCUCAUGAUGCAAAGACAUUCACUUAUAUGUUGAGAGUUGGUUCCAGAUUUGUACGAAUCCGUGAAUAAGUACAAGUGAGGAAUCAAACUAGAUAUGAAGUUUAAGUGAAUAGACUAGGCAGUAUGAGAUGCAGACAGAAGAGAUCUAACAAUGUGUAGGCAGAAACCACUUUUGGUAGAUAGCAUGAAUCUGUGAAGAUCAAAAAGGCAGUAAAAAUAGAGUUAUAUUUACCACACGAAGAACUGCUAGAUGGGAUGAACAGGAGACCGAGCAGUUCAAUCCACCGUGCCCUAACUUGGCGACGGAGGAUACCUACGGCGACGGCGGAGAGGACGAUAUCCGCAGCCGGCGUGAGGACGGCGUCGGAGAGGUCGCGACAGCUAAGCGCUUCGUCGCCGGCGUCGUCGAGAGCUAGCGGUGGCGCUAGGGUUUUGACGAGGUGGAGAGGUGGAAGAAGGUUUUCUUUACCGCAUGGGACAUGUAUUUAUAAGGAAGUGUGCGGCACAGCGCAAUUACGCAGGUGCCCCUGGCGGUUCACAUCUGAGGGGCACGUGGCAAGCAUGCAACAUACUCAGAGUUGUCCCACGUUCCCUCGCCCGCCAGGCAUGUCGGAUGGUUGUUCCGGCUUCUCCGGAUAUAGAAAAUAAAGAUGAGUCAUUUAAAACAGACUUAAUAUUUGUCUCUGUGUCUUCUGCUGACUAGGACACAGAGAAGACAUUCAACAGUUUCAAUAGAAUGCAUAUGAUUUGGACAGAUAGAGUUUGAGAUAGAAAGCAUAGAGAGAUUAGGGUCUGAUCACAUUCACUUAGUUCAAAAGAUUCAAAUAGGAAGACAUAGNNNNNNNNNNNNNNNNNNNNNNNNNNNNNNNNNNNNNNNNNNNNNNNNNNNNNNNNNNNNNNNNNNNNNNNNNNNNNNNNNNNNNNNNNNNNNNNNNNNNNNNNNNNNNNNNNNNNNNNNNNNNNNNNNNNNNNNNNNNNNNNNNNNNNNNNNNNNNNNNNNNNNNNNNNNNNNNNNNNNNNNNNNNNNNNNNNNNNNNNNNNNNNNNNNNNNNNNNNNNNNNNNNNNNNNNNNNNNNNNNNNNNNNNNNNNNNNNNNNNNNNNNNNNNNNNNNNNNNNNNNNNNUAUAUAUCGGAAAGCAAUCAAACCAUCAUAGUGAAGAAAAUCAUGAAGAUAAAUUGAAACUGAAGACUAACCAAAUGCGAAGUCAUUGCAAAAAUAACACCAUGAGUGAAACACUUCAAAUCGAGAAAUUUGGUGGUGGCGUUACCCACCUUAUAGGAAGUAUUAGACCCAGACACUGCGCACAAUUAUCGUGGCACUCCGAAGUCAUAUUCCACGUUAAUGUAUUCACACUUAGAGUGUAAGUCUUCAUUUAUUGAAGAUAUACAUUACUUCAUUGUUGCACAUCUAAGUCGUCAACAUGCAUAAGUGUUAGGAUGUGUGCCUGAUCACAGGACAUUUGAGGAUUCCAAGAUAUUUAGCUCACACCGUAACUUGCAAAACCUUUUCUCAUCCAAGGGCUUUGUGAAGAUAUCUGCCAGUUGCUCUUCAGUGUUGACGUGAAUGAUGUCAAUAUCUUUCUUCAUGACAUGAUCUCUGAGAAAGUGAUGACGAAUUUCAAUGUGCUUUGUCUUCGAGUGCUGGACUGGAUUGUUGGCAAUCUUGAUGGCGCUUUCGUUGUCGCAGAAGAGAGGCACUUGUUUCAGAUUGAUGGCAUAGUUCUUGAGAGUUUGCUUCAUCCAUAGAAGUUGAGCGCAACAGGAUCCAGCAGCAAUGUAUUCAGAUUCAGCAGUUGAGAGUGAUACACAGUUCUGCUUCUUUGAAGACCAACAGACAAGUGAUCGACCCAGAAAGUGACAUGUGCCUGAUGUAGACUUGCGAUCCACCUUGUCACCAGCAUAAUCAGCAUCCGAGAAUACAACCAAAUCAAAUUUUGAGCCCUUUGGAUACCAUAAUCCGAGUGUCGGGGUGUAAGCCAAAUAUCGAAGAAUUCGCUUCACUACUAAGUGAUGCGAUUCUUUUGGUGCCGCUUGGAAUCGAGCACACAUGCAAACACUAAGCAUAAUAUCUGGCCUAGAUGCACAUAGAUAAAGUAAAGAACCAAUCAUGGAGCGGUAUACCUUUUGAUCGAACUCUUUACCAUUAUCGUCGGGACCAAGAUGGUGUUUGGCUGGCAUUGGCGUCGUGUAACCUUUGCAAUCUUCCAUUCCAAACUUCUUCAGACAAUCUUUGAGGUAUUUUUCUUGAGAUAUGAAGAUGCCAUUCCUUUGCUGACGAAUUUGAAGACAAAGGAAGAAUUUCAGCUCACCCAUCAUGGACAUCUGAUAUUGCUCUUGCAUCAUGUAUCCAAACUCAUCACUGUACUUCUGGUUGGUGCAGCCGAAGAUAAUGUCAUCCACAUAUAUCUGGCACACAAACAAUUCACCAUCAUAUGUCUUCAUGAAGAGUGUAGGAUCAAGGGAUCCAGGUUUGAAGCCUUUGCUCUUCAAGAAGUCUUUGAUUGUAUCAUACCAAGCCCGAGGUGCUUGUUUGAGGCCAUACAGUGCUUUGUUUAGCUUGUACACCAUAUCAGGAUGUUUUGGAUCUUCAAAGCCAGGUGGUUGAGCGACAUAUACUUCUUCUUCAAUCUUGACAUUGAGAAAUGCACUCUUCACAUCCAUUUGAUAUAGCAAGAUGUUGUGGUGGUUAGCAUAGGCUAGCAGUAUGCGAAUAGCUUCAAGCCUAGCAACAAGAGCAAAUGUUUCAUCAAAGUCAAUUCCUUCAACUUGAGUAUAUCCUUGAGCCACAAGACGUGUUUUGUUUCUGACGACUUGACCAUGCUCAUCUUGCUUGUUUCGAUAUAUCCAUUUUGUACCAAUAAUGUUAUGCUUGCGAGGGUCACUUGACAAGUUCCCAAACAAUGUUCAACUUGAACUGUUGAAGUUCUUCUUGCAUAGCUUGAAUCCAUUCAGGUUCCAUGAAGGCUUCAGCAACUUUCUUGGGUUCUGAUAUUGAUACAAACGAAAAGUGCCCACAGAAAUUUGCUAACUGUGUUGCUCUUAAGCGAGUGAGUGGACCAGGUGCAUUGAUGCUAUCAAUUAUCUUCUCAAUUUGUACUUCAUUUGCAACUCGAGGAUGAACUGGACGAAGACUUUGCUCUUGCUGAUCAUUAUCAUCAUUGGGAGGAUUGUCUUCGGUCUGAGCAUUGUCUUCAGGUUGGUUAGGUGCAGAAAUGAUAAGUUCCUCUUUAGGUUGUGCUUCAGAAGGCAUGAUUUCACCAGUUCCCAUCAGCUUGAUAGAUUCGCUGGGCGGAGCUUCGUCUAGUGUACUUGGUAGGAGUUCUCUUUGUGAACCAUUUGUUUCAUCAAAUCGCACGUCCACAGUUUCGACGAUUUUGUAGUGAUAGAGGUUGAAGACUCUGUAGGAGUGCGAGUCCUUUCCAUAGCCAAGCAUGAAGCCUUCGUGAGCUUUAGUGCAAAUUUUGACUUGUGAUGGGGAUCCUUGAUCCAGCACCUAGCUCCAAAUACUCUGAAGUAGCUGACAUUUGGCUUCUUGCCAGUAAGGAACUCAUAGGAUGUUUUGUUCAUAAGCUUAUGGAUGUAAACACGGUUGAUGAUGUGACAUGCUGUGUCAAUAGCUUCAGGCCAAAACUUUCUUGGUGUCUUGUAUUCGUUGAGCAUUGUUCGAGCCAUCUCAAUGAGGGUUCUGUUCUUGCGCUCAACGAUGCCAUUUUGCUGAGGUGUGUAUGGAGCAGAGAACUCAUGAGUGAUUCCCAUUGUAUCCAGAUAAAGAUCCAAGUCCGGUGUUCUUGAAUUCAGUGCCAUUGUCACUUAUGAUAUGCUUGAUCUUCACGCCAUAAUUGUUCAUUGCUCGAUUGGCAAAGCGUCUGAAGACAUCUUGCACUUCAGUCUUGUAGAGAAUUAUGUGCACCCAUGUGUAUCUUGAGUAGUCAUCAACAAUGAUGAAGCCAUAGAGACAAGCAGUUGUUGUGAGGGUUGAGUAGUGAGUAGGUCCAAAUAAGUCCAUGUGUAAUAGCUCAAAAGGUUGAGAUGUCGUCAUGAUUGUCUUCGAGGGAUGCUUGGCCCUAGUCAUCUUUCCAGCUUCGCAGGCACCACACAGAUGAUCCUUCUUGAACUUGACACCCUCGAUGCCUAUGACAUGCUUCUUCUUGACUUGUGUGUGUAAGUUCCUCAUGCCAGCAUGCCCCAGCCUCCGAUGCCAGAGCCAGUAUUCUGAAGCUUUUGCGAGAAGACAUACGGCAAGCUGUGGACCUGCUGAGAAAUCUACCAUGUAUAGAUCAUCUUUUCGAUACCCUUCAAAGACUAGAGACUUGUCAGAUUCCAUUAGUACAAGGCAACGAUAUUUUCCGAAUAGCAUAAUCAUGUUCAAGUCACAAAGCAUUGAGACAGACAUUAAGUUGAAACCAAGGGAUUUAACAAGCAUCACUUUAUCCAUGUGUUGAUCCUUUGAGAUUGCAACUCUACCUAGACCCAAUACCUUGCUUUUACCAAUGUCAGCAAAUGUGAUGUGACUCUUGUCGGAUGGACGUAAGGUUGAGUCCAUGAGAAGACUUCGAUCACCAGUCAUAUGAUUUGUGCAUCCGCUGUCCAUAAUCCAUUCUAAAGCUUUUGGUGACAUACCCUACAGUGCAGUUAGGAGGAUAGGCUUCACAAGGAGUGUUGUGAAGCAUAAGCAUUUGACACACACAAGGAUUGUCACAGCUUAGAUCAAGGUUAGGACUCAUAGUAUGACUGGUAAGCGAUUCAGAUGUGAAAUAUAUAGUAAGACAUUUUAUCAUGCGUCCUUAAUGUUUUUUAGGUCCCCAGCAAUAGCAUCGGACGCCUGUGAUUGCAGACUGGAGACCUUUCUCUGCAAAAGAAAGUUAAUUCUUCUUCACCACCCACAUUUUCAGGGGUGGCUUAGAAGCAAUGAGUCUAAGUGCAGCAUCUGAGAAUUUUGGCUUUGGAGCCCUAGCAAAUAGCCUUGCAGGAGAUGAAUGAUACUCAUAUGAAUAAGCAGAAAAGUUCUUAGUUCUAUGAACAUAGUGGUUUGAAGACACACGCUCAUAUUCAUAAGUCUGAGUAUGAUUUCCCUGCAAAACAUAGGCGUUAGGGUGACUCAGGUGAGUCCUGUAUCUGUAUGAAGCCUUUGGGCCAUAUGAAGCCAUAGGUCUGGGGUUUGUCUUCUUCCUUGGUGGUGUCAUGACGACAUUCACAUGAAGAUUCUCAAUGAACUGCUUAGGUACCCAGAUCUUCUUCAUAGGUGGUCCAUUCCUGCAGUUAGUACCAAUAUACCUGGCAAACACUUCACCAUUCUGAUUCUUGAACAGCUUAUAGUUUGCAUCAAAGGAUUCAUCAAUGAUAAUAGGAUUAGCACAGGUAAAGCCAGAUAAGGUGGAUGGAUCCACUGAAGGUUCCUUUGCAGCAACCCAUGUGGUUUUGGGAUACUGCUCAGGCUUCCAGUAGGAGCCAUCAACAUUCAUUUUCCUCUCAAAACCAACACCCUCUUUCCUAGGGUUUCGGUUCAAAAUCUGCUUUUUGAGGACAUCACAGAGUGUCUGAUGUCCUUUCAGACUUUUAUACAUCCCUGUUUCAAGCAAUUUCUUCAACCUAGCAUUUUCAUCAGCAAUAGUAGUGGUAUCCUCUGCAGAGGGGUUAGUUACCACAUCAGUAGUUGAAGACAAUGCAACAGUAGCAGCAGUGGAACAUUCAGCAACAGAGGUAGCGUUAUCACGCUCAAUGCAUUUUAGACAUGGUGGUUCAAAUUCAUCCUGAGCGGGACUGAUCUGUUGAGCGCGAAGUGACUCAUUUUCUUUUUGAAGAUCUUCAUGAGCCGCUCUCAAUUUCUCGAGCUCUUGCUUCCUUUGAAGAUAAUCAUAGGAGAGCUUUUCAUAAGUGGUUGAGAGCGUUUCAUGAUGACUUUCAAGUUCUUGGUACUUAGCAUGAAAAUUUUUAUGUCCUCAACUAAGGACUGCGAACGUGUCAUUUCCGCGUCCAACAGGUCAUCGCUUUUGUCUAACAGUUUUUGAGUAUGUUCCAUAGCUUUUUGUUGUUCAGUUGCAAUCUUAGCAAGUGUUUUGUAGCUGGGUUUGGAUUCACAAUCAGAGUCAUCUUCACUUGAUGUUUGGAAGUAAGCAUCACGUGAUUUUACCUUGGCACCUCGUGCCAUGAAGCAGUAGGUGGGAGUAGGAUCGUCUUCGUCAUCAGCUUCAGCGUUGGUGUGGAAGUCAUUGUCUUCAGUGUUGAAGAUGGACUUGGCAACAUAAAUUGUGGCUAGAGCCAGACUUGCAACGCCAGGGUCGGACUCCUCUCCAGACUCCACCUCCGCCUCCUCAGAAGCAGACUCCUCCUCUGAAUCCAUUUCCUUGCCAAAAAAAGCACGAGCCUUGCCAGAUGAGCUCUUCUUGUGUGAUGAAGACUUGGAAGAAGACUUAGAAGAAGACUUUGAGAAUUUCUUCUUAUUCUUGUCAUCAGCAUCAUAUUCUUUGUUCUUCUUCUUCUUCUUCUUCUCAUUGUCCCACUGUGGACACUCAGAUAUGUAGUGACCGGGUUUCUUGCACUUGUGGCAGGUUCUCUUCUUAUGGUCAUGGGUGGAAGCUUCAUCAUUCCUUGAGCUGGAUCGUGAAGACUUUCUGAAGCCUUUCUUCUUGGUGAAUUUCUGGAACUUCUUCACAAGCAUAACAAUUUCCUUUCCAAUGUCUUCAGGAUCAUCAUAACUACAGUCAGAUUCUUCUUCAGAUGAGGAAACAACUUUUGCCUUCAAUGCGCGAGUUCGGCCAUAGUUGGGACCAUAGAUAUCUGUUUUCUCAGAAAGCUGGAACUCAUGUGUGUUGAGCCUCUCAAGUAUAUCAGACGGAUCGAGUGUCUUAAAGUCAGGACGUUCUUGUAUCAUAAGGGCAAGGGUGUCAAAGGAGCUGUCAAGUGAUCUCAGUAGUGUCUUGACGAUUUCAUGCUUGGUAAUCUCAGUUGUGCCGAGAGCUUGAAGCUCAUUUGUGAUGUCAGUGAGGCGAUCGAACGUGAGCUGGACAUUUUCAUUGUCGUUUCUCUUGAAGCGGUUGAAGAGGUUGCGAAGAACACUGAUCCUUUGAUCUCUCCGGGUUGAGACGCCUUCGUUGACCUUGGAUAGCCAGUCCCAGACUAGCUUCGACGUUUCCAGAGCACUCACACGGCCAUACUGUCCUUUUGGUCAGAUGACCACAGAUAAUGUUCUUGGCAGUAGAGUCCAGUUGAAUGAACUUCUUGACAUCAGUAGGGGUGACACCUUCACCAGUUUUGGGAACGUCGUUCUUGAUGACAUACCAGAGGUCGACAUCAAUGGCUUCAAGAUGCAUACACAUCUUAUUCUUCCAGUAGGGAUAUUCAGUUCCACCGAACACGGGGCAAGCAGCGGAGACUUUGAUUAUCCCUGCAGUCGACAUAGCUAAAACUCCAAGUGGUUAAACCGAAUCACACAGAACAAGGGAGUACCUUGCUCUGAUACCAAUUGAAAGUGCUAGUUAUCGACUAGGGGGGUGAAUAGGCGAUUUUAAUGAAAGUCUUCAAAACUUGGAUGUUUUGAAGACAAACAAUAGAAAUGACCUAAUUGACAUGCAGCGGAAGAUAAACUACGACAAGCAAACCAUAGUCAAGUAUGCAAUGAGGUGAAAGUACAAGACUAAUAGCAGCUAAGUAGUAAGGAUCAGGAUGGAAGAUAGUAUGAAGCCAAUCAACAAUAGUAGUCAAGCAAUGAAGUCAAACAGGUACGACAGAUAGAUAGUGACUACACGAAGACAAACUUAAGUAAAGGAAGGGAGAGGAUGGAACCAGUCACUUGUUGAAGACAUGGGAUUUAUUGGACCAGUUCCAGUUGCUGUGACAACUGUACGUCUAGUUAGGGAGGCUGAGAUUCAACUCACAAGACCGCAUCUUCACCUUAUUCCCCUUGAGCUAAGGACACACAGUCCUCGCCCAAUCACUCUGUUAAGUCUUCAAGGUAGACUUCCGAACCUUCACAGACUUCGUUCACCGGCAAUCCACAAUGACUCUUGGAUGCUCAGAACGCGACGCCUAACCGGCUGGAGGAUUCACAGUCCUCAAGUGUAAUAAGUCUUCAGGUCACACAGACAGAAAGACUUCAGUGAUGCCUAACACUCUUUGGCUCUGGGUGUUUGGGCUUUGUCCUCGCAAGGAUUUCUCUCUCAAAGGCUUCGAGGUGGGUUACUCUCAAACAACAAAAGCCGUGCACUAACUCUGAGCAGCCACCAAUUUAUGGUGUAGGGGGUGGGCUAUUUAUAGCCACAAGGCAACCCGACCUGAUAUGUCCGAAAUGACCCUGGGUCACUAAGGAACUGACACGUGUUCCAACGGUCAGAUUUCAAACACACACGGCAACUUUACUUGGGCUACAAGCAAAGCUGACUCAUCCAGCUCUGGAUAAGAUUUGCUCUCAUUGUCUUCGCUCGAAGACAUAGGAUUUGGGUUGAGCAUCACUUCAGUCAUUCUGACUUUGUUCACUUGGACCCCACUUAACAGUAUGGUGGUUCCUAUGACUCAACAAAGAAGAAAAAGGAAAUGACGAGAUGACACAGUCUUCGCGCUCCAUAGUCUUCACUCAAUGUCUUCUCAUUUCAUAGUCUUCAAUAUGAAUAUCUUCAUAUUCCACCACUGUCUUCAAUGUCUUCAUACAUUUUUAGGGGUCAUCUCCGAUAGGUAAACCGAAUCAAUGAGGGACAUCACCUGCGUUAUCCUGCAAUUCUCACAAACGCAUUAGUCCCUCAACCAACUUUGUCGUCAAUACUCCAAAACCAACUAGGGGUGGCACUAGAUGCACUUACAGAAUCUCAAUGUGCUUGGUCUUGCUAUGUUGAACCGGAUUCUCGGCGAUCUUGAUGGCACUUUCAUUGUCACACCAAAGAGGCACUUUGUCACAUUUGACACCAUAAUCCAUCAAAGUUUGCCUCAUCCAUAAUAAUUGGGCACAACAACUUCCGGCAGCAAUAGACUCGGCUUCGGCUGUGGAGACAGAUAUACAACUUUGUUUCUUUGAAGACCAAUUUACCAAUGACCUCCCUAGAAAUUGACAUGAACCGGAGGUGGACUUGCGAUCAACCUUGUCUCCGGCCCAAUCCAAAUCUGAGUAACCCAUUAACUCAAAUGAUGAUCCCUUGGGAUACCAAAGGCCCAAGUUUGGGGUAUGAACCAAAUAUCGAAGGAUCCUUUUCACUGCCGAAUAGUGGCUCUCCUUAGGAGCAGAUCGAAAUCUUGCACACAUACACACACUCAACAUAAUAUCUGGCCUAGAUUCACAAAGGUAAAGCAAGGAACCGAUCAUAGAGCGAUAUACCUUUUGAUCCACUUCUUUACCAUUUGGAUCAAGAUGAAGUCGACCAUUUGUGGCCAUGGGUGUCUUCUUUGGCUGGAUAUCUUGCAUUUUGAAUCUCUUGAGCAUGUCUUGGAUAUAACGAGAUUGAUUGAUGAAGGUUCCGCCUCAAUUGCUUCACUUGAAAACCGAGAAAGAACUUCAACUCUCCCAUCAUGCUCAUUGCAAAUUCCUUAGUCAUAAGAUUCGCAAACUCAACGUUAAUAGCAUGGUUAGUUGACCCAAAGAUAAUAUCAUCAACAUAUAUUUGGCAGACAAACAACUCUCCUUUUACCCUCUUUGUAAAGAGAGUGGAAUCUAUUACCCCAAUCUGGAACCCUUUCUUGCUUAGGAACGACGUAAGGUGAUCAUACCAAGCAUGAGGUGCUUGUUUGAGUCCAUAGAGUGCCUUAUGGAGUUCAUAAACGUGAGAGGGAUGAUCGGGGUCUUCAAAACUGGGAGGUUGCUUGACAUACACUAACUCCUUAAGAGGACCAUUAAGAAAAGCGCUCUUAACAUCCAUUUGAUAUAAUUUGAAAUCAUAAUGAGAGGCAUAAGCAAGCAAGAUGCGCAUGGAUUCGAGACGGGCAAUGGGGGAUAAAGUUUCACCAAAGUCCAAACCUUCAACUUGGGUGAAACCUUGUGCCACUAACCUUGCCUUGUUCCUUAUUACUUGUCCAUAUUCAUCUUGUUUGUUCUUGAAAAUCCACUUUGUUCCAAUGACAUUAUGAAAUUCCUUGGGUCUUUCUACAAGGUUCCAUACUUUGUUGUGUGUGAAGUUGUUGAGUUCUUCAUGCAUGGCAUCUAUCCAAUCCGGAUCGUCAAGUGCAUCUUCCACCUUAAGGGGUUCAACACAAGAGACAAACGAGUGAUGUUCACAAAAUUUUGCCAAACGUCUACGAGUAGUUACCCCCUUUUUGAUGCUUCUGUAGAUGUUCUCGGUGAGGUGUUGAAGAUGUUUCAGCUUGGCGGCCACUUUUUGCUCUUUGCGGUCAAGCUCUUCUUCACUUGGUUUUGGACUUGAUGAAGAGGCUUGCCCUUGAGAUUGCUUUAACCUUGGAGACACUCUUCUCUUUGCAACCACAGGUUCUUGCUCUGUAGGAAGUGAUGACGAUGAAGACACAUGUGGUUGGGGUUGAUCUUGAUCAUGAUCAUGACUUUGAGCUUGAUCUUGAGCCUCAACGAUUGGUUCUUCAUUAUUCGGAAGAGUUUGCUCUAGAUCUUGCUUAGGAAUAUGAGGGUCUUGAUCUUGUUCUUGGAUAGGUUCAUUAUUUCCUGAAGCAUCUUGGACAAGUGGUGUCGGUGAUGACUUUCCUUGUGGAGAAUCCUCAAGAGGGGCUCUUAUUCCUUCUUCUUCUACUUGGACAUGGGGUGUUUCUUGUGGGAGAAUGUGGCCUAUCCCCAUUGUCCUUAUAGCUUGUGAAGGAGCCUCAUCACCUACAACACUAGGAACAAUUUGCUCCAAGCGGGAGCCGUUAUCUUCAUCAAACUCCACAUUUACUGUUUCCUCAAUGCAUCCAGUGGAUUUAUUGAGAACUCGGUAAGCAUGAGAGUUUGAUGCAUAUCCAACAUAUAUGCCCUCAUAAGUUCUAGACUCAAAUUUAGCUAACCGGGAUUUUUUGUUUAAAAUGAAACACUUACAACUAAAUACCCGAAAGUAUUUGACGUUGGGCUUUCUCCCGAUUAGGAGCUCAUAAGGGGUCUUGUUCUUGAGCUUGCGAAGAUAAAGCCGGUUUGAAGCAUGGCACGCGGUGUUGAUGGCUUCUGCCCAAAGCUUGUAUGGUGAUUUGUACUCAUCAAGCAUGGUCCUACCAUCUCAAUAAGAGUCCGAUUCUUCCUCUCCGCAACCCCAUUUUGUUGGGGAGUAUAUGGUGAGGCAUAUUGGUGCUUUAUCCCCUCUUCACUCAAGAAAUCAUCCAUUGUAUAGUUUUUGAACUCGGUGCCAUUGUCACUCCGGAUUGCCUUGAUCUCACAGUUAUGUUGACGUUGAGCUUCUUUGGCAAAGUUGAUGAAGGUUUCUUGAGUUUCAUCUUUAGUCUUGAGAAAGAACACCCAAAUAUAUCUUGUGAAGUCAUCAACAAUGACAAGGCAAUAUCUCCUUCCUCCCAAACUAUCAUAUGUUGGAGGCCCAAAUAGAUCCAAAUGGAUAAGCUCGAGGGGCCUCAAGGUGGUGAUGAUAGUCUUCACCUUGUGAGCUUUUUCAUGAAGCUUUCCGGCAAUGCAAGCACUACAAGGACGAUCUUUGGCAAAAGACACAUUGGUUAGUCCAAGAAUGUGCUCCCCCUUUAAGAGAGCUUGUAAAUUUCUCAUGCCCACGUGGGCUAGCCUACGGUGCCAUAGCCACCCCACGUCGGCCUUGGCCAUUAGGCAUGUUGCAAGAUGAGUUUUCUCUUUCGAGAAAUCAACCACGUAAAGGUUGUCUUCAACAUGCCCAACGAAGACCACUUUGAGAUUGCUUCUCUUAAAGACGGUCACAUGGAAUUCACCAAAAUGUGAAUCAUAUCCGGCACGAGCCAAUUGAAUAGUUGAAAGUAAAUUGUAGUGAAGGGAUUGGACAAGCAUGACAUUUGAAAGAGAUGAAUCAUUAGAGAUUACCACCUUGCCCAAACCUAAUACCUUGCCCUUGCUAUUGUCACCGAAGGAGAUGUUCGAAGAGGCCUUGAGUGAAUCAACGAACUCCAUGAGCAUCUCCCUUUCUCCGGUCAUAUGAUUGGUGCAUCCACUGUCGAUCACCCAUUGAGUUCCACCGAAGACAUAGUCCUACAAUAAUCAAGCUUUGGUUAUAGGUACCCAUUUUGCAAUGGGUCCUGGCGAGUUAGCAACAAGGAUCUUGGGAACCCAAAUAGUCCAAGCAUAAUCAUCAUAGUUAGUUCCAACAAAUUUUGCAAAGGUAUGGCCAUCAUCUCCUCUCAUGAGAACAUAUGAUGGAUUGUUCUUGCCGGCAAAAUUCUUGGGAAUGGCCUUGUCCCUAAUGACCUUUCCAUUCCCAACACCCUUCCUUUCCUUCUCCUUCUCCUUGUGCCCUUCAUGCACAAACACUACCUUUUGGGGAGGGGAAGGAGUCGGACCGAUCUUCUUCUUGUUCUUCUUCUUCCUUUUCUUACCACUCUUAGAUGCGGGAUUAAACCCAACUCCCUCCUUGGAAACACACUCCUUUUGGUUGCUCAAGAGGUCGUUUAGAUUUUUCUCCCCUUGGAUGCAUGAUACAAGCCCUUUCCCAAUUUGAGCUUUCAACUUCUUAUUUUCCUCUUGAAGGAAAGUGCAAUCAUGAGCAAAGUUAGCAGUACAAGCAUCAUCAUUUAAAUCAAUAUGAGGUACGCAAGUGAGAGCCUUAAUGGUUGUAGCUUUUAGUUGGGCAUAAGACUCGGUGAGGGCAAUGAGAUCACCUUUGACAACCUUGGAACUAAUCACAAGGAACUCAUGCUCCUCAACAAGUCUUGUAUGGUCAACUAGAAGCUUUUCAACUCUAACGUUAAGAGCAUCUUUAUUCUCAAGAGCAAGUUGCAAAGCAUCGUUGGUUUUAACAAAGUCAAUUUGAUGAGCAGAUAAGGGUUCCUCAAGUGAUGCUCUCAUGACACUCUCUUCAUUAAGUUCGUGCUCGAGGAGAUCCACUCUCUCUUUUUCCUCUAUAAGGAGGUUCUCAACGUUCUCAAUAUCGUGUUCGGCAAGUGACUUAAGGAGAUCGCCAAAACGAGCACGAGCUUCACCAUGAAGAGUUUUCAUGAAAGCCAUUAAGGAUUCCUCAUCAUUAUCCACACCCUCCUCACACUCAUCCUCCACUAUCUCACAUGAGACAUUGGGAGUGUAGUUGUCGGGUUUCUUGGGUUCGGACUUAGCUUUUACCUCUUUGGACAUGAGGCACCGAUGAGUGAAUGGCUUGUCCUCGUUUGGAGAGUCGAAGAGCCCGGUGGUGGAGGAGGAGGUAGUGGCAUGCAUGGCAAAGGCGGCCGUGCCCACUUGAUCAUCAUCACCGUCAUCUUCAUCUCCAGACAUGUAUUCUUCAUGAACAAGAGCCUUGUCAUCCUUCCUCUUUGCAAACUUGGUGAACUUCUUCUUCUUAAGCACAAGCUUCUCGGACUUGUCUUCAUGUCUCUCAUAUGGACAAUCAUGAACAAAGUGUCUUGGGCUAUCACAAUUGUAGCAUUUCCUUCGUCCAAAAGAUCUUCCUUGAAGAUUUCUUCCUUUGUUUGCCAUGGUCCCGGAGUACUUUUUGACUAAGAGAGCCAAGUCUUCCGCAAAAUCAUUUGCCAGACACGAGGUGUCAUUAUCCUCCUCACCUAUCUCUUCACUCACUUCUUCCUCCCUUGAGGGUUGGCUCACCACUUUCUUGGCCUUCAAGGCAAGAUUGGAGUUCUUGGUUGCUUGAGCUAUUGCAAAUGUUUUCUUGGACUUGGUUUCCAAAAGAACAUGGGUAGAGAAGGUGUAAACAACUUGAGCCGAAGUCAGCUUGUGAUAGUCCGGACGUUGAUGAACCAUCAUGACCAUGGUAUGUUCCGUGAGAACCAUAGCAUCUAUGAACUUGUCCUUGAUGAAGUCAUCAUUUGCCCAAAUGCACCCAAAGGUUCUCAAGUUGAGCACAAGAGACUUCAACCUUCGGUAAACCUCUUCUGCGGACUCACCCUCAUUCCUCACAAAGAGAUUAACUUCUUGUUUGAGCAAGGCCAAACGAGAUCUUCGAAUUGCUUCAUCCCCUUCAAGAGCCUCCUCAAGGCAAUCCCAAAUUUCCUUUGCGGUUUUGAGAAGAGCAAUGGAAUCACUAUAGUCUUCAGUCACAGCGUUGCGAAGCAUGUUGUGUGCGGUAGCAUUGAGUUGAUCGUCAACUGCUUCUCUUGGAGUGAGAUUCAUUGGGUCCUUGGGGUUGAAUCCAUUGACCACAAUCCACCACAAUUGAGUUGAAGCACUGCGCAUGUGAGACUCCAUAUCUAGCUUCCACUUAGCAAAGGCAUUAGCUUUCAAAGGGGGCGGAGGCCCAACAUGAUUAAUGCGGGGAUGUUGCAAGGGUUGAGGAGAGUAAAAGGGUUCCACGACAUUGUACUUGUGAACUUGAGUACGAGACGGAGAAGCAAGAGGUUCCCUCGAGUCAUACGCAUCAUGAACUUCAUUUGGAUUAAACGAGUUUGAUGCGGACGUUGAUGGCUUUAAGCGGGCAUCAAUUUCCUCCUUGACCGAGGCCCGAACCUCUUUCAUCAUAGAGACUUUGAGGUCCGCAAACAUUGAAAGAAGAUCGGCCACGGUCAAGGGGACAUUCGGGUUAGGAGGAGCGGCGGGAGCAACGACAGGAGAACCAAGUGUCUCGGUCGUGGCGGGGGGUUGGUUUUGAUCAUCCUCCGCAACGGGUAAGUCACCUCCCUCAUUCCCUAGAUCGACCAUAUCCUCAAAUGUUGUAAAACCUUAUAUUAGAGCACGAGGCUCUGAUACCAAUUGAAAGGAUCGAUACGGUCGACUAGAGGGGGGGUGAAUAGGAGACUACAAAUUUUAAUCUUUCUUGUAGAUUUUAAGGCUUAGCGGAUAAAAGAGUUCACUAGAUAUGCAACUAGGUGAAUGCAACCUAUAUGACAAGCAAGCUCCAAGAUAAAUAUACUAGGCAACAAACUACUUAGCAAGCCAACAAGCAUACAACAACAAGGAAAGGUGCGGGAAAGGAUUAACCACAAGUGAGACGAGGACGCGGAUUUUAACCCGAAGUUCACUCUUCCUUGGGGAAGAGCUAAUCUCCGUUUGGAGCAGUGCCGGAGCCAAAGCUUGCGGAACGCCACCAAAGGCUCACCGUAUUCUCCUUCGAGUCACCCCCAACGGAUGAGCCUCGAAACACUCGGGGUUGGUCUUGAAGGCGACCACCACACCUUUACAAACUUCUCCGGAGCACACCACAAGCAAGGAAGCUUCCGGAGGAACCUCUAGCCCCCUAGGAGCCCAAGCUCCAAGAGUAACAAGUCAAUGGGGAAGAAAUGUUGUGGGGAACACGAUUUGGUUUGGUCAAGAUGUAGAUCGGGUCUUGCUCUCCCAAUCCCCAAAGUUUCAACAAGUUUGGGUGGAGGGAUUGAGAGUAUUGAGCAAAAGGGGGUGUAGCAAUGGUGGAGCUCAACAAGACAUUAGGGUUGGAGGUUGGAGGUGGAAGAAGGGCCUUUAUAUAGUGUUCAUGGGCUGGUGGGGAUUUCUGCCCGUUGGACCCCGUGCGCACGGGCUAAGUCAGCCCCGUGCGCACGGGGUACUCAGAGACAAUCACGCCACCCCGUGCGCACGGGGGUCAAAAGACCCCGUGCGCACGGGGUACCCAGAGAGUUACGUAGUACCCCAUGCGCACGGGGGUCAAAAGACCCCGUGCGCACGGGGUACCCAGUAGCUUUCUGUUGCAACUUUCUGAGUACCACAGCAUACACACUAGGUCCUUAUUAGGUGGUCGGAGUGGGAAGGGUAAGAGAGUAAGGCUCGGCAAUGGCAUUCCCACACGACAUUUAUCCACACAAACCCCUCUUAAUAGUGCGGUCUUUCCUACGACUCGAAGCAAACCAAAACUAAACCUUCGAAGCGUCGAAAGACAACGCCUUUGUCCUUUUUGAAAUGGGGGGUCGCACAUCUCCAUCGCGGGCACUUAGAACCAAUAACCUGAGAUAAAAUUUAGCAACCGAUAUUAGUUCAACUAACCACAUUGUCAUCACACCAAAAUAAAGCAUAAGCGCCACUCGCACUUUCAAGUACAUACACAACAUACUAUUUAAAUAACUAACAUGUUGAUUUAAGGUCCUUAUGAAGCCCUUAAGUACCUCACACAACUGGCUAGUGUUGAAAUUGAUGUCAGUCUCCUUUUGCUUGUUUACUAUGUAAUUUACAUGCAAUGGAAUCGAUUGUUUUUUAUGUGCCAAAUAACUUGCAUGUAUGGUCUGUGAAAGGAAACAAAACGGUUCCUAUGUCUCUUGUAUAUCUCUUGAGCUGUAGUCUAGUUUGCUUAUUUGCUAGUGUUUUCUGGUAGUGUCAACUACUCCUUGGUUGUUAUUUAUGUGUUAUUGGGGACUGACUUUGCAAUGCAACAUGGUUGAGAUGCUUGUUGAUAAAAUUGAAUGGCUAAGAUGCCUUGUAUGUUUAAAAUUGAAUGGUUGCAUUGAACUCUAGUGGUCGGCUUGUCAGCCAUAAAAGUUGAAAUUGAGGUCAAUGAAAUCUUUAGUCAUUGUUUGCCCUCGUUGUUUAAUUUAUUGAGUGAUGAAACAACCAACUUUUGGUUGAAGCAUCAACCAUUUUUCCAAAGAAUAUGAAUGUUGCUAUUUUUAUUUAUAACUAGUCACAGGCGCAAAACAUGUAGCAAUGAGAACUCAACAGGAACAUUCAUCACGUCUAGGUGGGUAGUAGCCAAUCUUCAUCGAUUUGAUAUUGUCCAAACCAACCCGAACCGGACCCAUUGCCAUCCUUCAUUAGCAUGGGAGGUAACUCAACUCUGUUUGUUCCAUUCUUUGAUCUGUAUGUAAUAACAUAUACAAGGCACACACAUGAACAAAUUGAAAUCUGCCAUAGGCCACGACUUGCUUCUAAUCAAUGCUAUCGAGAAUGAUGUCGAUGGUGAGCCGGUUGUUGCGGCUGAAGCAGCAACCAUAGUCGUGGAGGCCCUUGCCCAUGAAAAAGAAAAAAAAAGAAAUAUCAAUCUAACAAAAAGGAAAAGAAAAGGAAUCAAAACUUCGUCCGGGUUUAUUAGGCCCCUUUUAUUUGGAGCUUUAGUACAAAAUUGUAUUAAAGCUGUGUCAACUAAUUUGGAUCGGAGGGAGUAAUAUAAUGUAAAGUGUAUGUCAUAAAAAUUAUACUAGGGAAAAGCCCUUUCAAAUACAAAUCCAAUAAUAUACUUUUUGUUUCGUAGAAUUUAUAUUUUUGUUAGUUAAUAAAUGGUCAAAGUUUGACCCAAAAUACUAGGAGGGCCUAUAAAUCUGGACCGAGAUAGUACUUUCGAGGGCCUAUAAAUCUAGACCGAGAUAAUACUUCAGAACACGCGCUAGCCAAGGAAAUAGAACUAAAAAAGGCGGUCCUCAGAUGACCUAGCACAUGUGAUGAAACCACAUUGAUGUCACGUUAUUUCAUGGGAUGGGUCUGCUUGUAGUCAGAUGGCUUCACGUCUUUUCACAUGAUGGCCACAGUGGCCUGGUGGGAUGGAGCAACUAGCAUAGAAAAGCAGCUUCAGGUGCAAGAAUAGAAAAACGAAAUCUGAGCCAUUGGAUGGGAGAUGAUUGGCACAGAUCAUGGUGGAGGAGACUGUUCCCACUUAAUGUACAUUUGACGAAACACCCCCUAGAAAUAGAUAGAUAUGAACCCUCACUUUUGCAGUAACAACCUCAUGUCCCUCGUCCAUUUCCAAAUCUGCAGAACGUUGAUGCCAACCCUUUCAAGCAUGUCAAUAUUCCAUUAUAUGUGAAAAUUAAGUCACCCCCUUGACGCACAACUAAAUGUAUAUGUCAUACUGGAUCAUCCAAAACAGAACUACUAUUUUCUACGGAUUAUGCAACAUAAAAUUAAAGUCAACAUUAAGCUUAUCUAGUAAUAUGCACCCACAUCUGAAUAGGCUGGUCAAAAUCUAUGUGAGCAAGGUAUUCCAUUUCUGGGUCCACUUUGAUCAGUGGCGGAGCUAUGUUGGGGCCGGGGGGGCCGCUGCCCCCCAGCCUUUUACCAAUUUCUGAAGAAAUUUUUUUAGGGAGACUUAGAUUAGAACAUUUUUAGCAUUUGGCCCCCCCAGACACUGAUGAUUUGUGUUUCGCCCCCCCAGAGUUUUUCGGCUAGCUCCGCCACUGACUUUGAUCCACAUACAAUGAUACAUAACAUGAGAUGAUUAUCUUUAUUACAUGACCAGCAAAACUGAAUAUUAAGUGCUACUAAAAUGGUCACCGCUCAACGAGCAUUCUAAUUAAACUGUACUAGCUUUAUUUUUUAGAUCGUACACGUACAUGACAGAAUAUUAUUCAGUUGAACUUUGCCUCCAGCUCUAAUGCUUGUCGCUCAUCGAGCUUCAUUUGCAGGGUUAGAUAACACCAAAAGAAUAUGAUUCAGUUCAACAGAGGAACUAAAAUUAUCUUGCGGGCAAAUGAGCUUCGCCCUUGCUGUCAUAAACAAGAGAAGCCUUUGUUAAACACUUCUUCUGUCCAUAUGAACUUUGGAAGCUUCUGUUGACAGAGCAUCACUCAUCUACAAAAACACGAACAAGUUUAUAGUUCACAUCACACUACUAGGAAAAUGGUUAUAGAUGGGAUUGACACUAAUGGCGCACCAGAAAGAUGAUGCGCCAUUAGUAUAUACUAAUGGCGCACCACAAUCUGAUGCGCCAUUAGAGUUUAAACAACUAAUGGCGCAUCAUGCUACGGGUGCGCCAUUAGUAUCAAAUUUUUUUUAACUAGUGCGCCUGUCCAAACAUACUAAUGGCGCAUCCCGGCAAAGUGCGCCAUUAGUAGUUGUAACUACUAAUGGCGCACCAGGCAGCAGGUGCGCCAUUAGUAUAGAAUUUUUUUUUUGAACUAGUGCGCCUAUCCAAACAUACUAAUGGCGCAUCCUGCCCAAGUGCGCCAUUAGUAGUUGUAACUACUAAUGGCGCACCAGGCAGUGGGUGCGCCAUUAGUAUAGGAUUUUUUUUUGAACUAGUGCGCCUAUCCAAACAUACUAAUGGCGCAUCCUGCUUAAAUGCGCCAUUAGUAGUUGUAAGUACUAAUGGCGCACCAUGCAAGAGGUGCGCCAUUAGUAAGUGGGCAGCAACAAGAUAUUUGGGACAGCCUCUCCUACCCACACACUCACUUUCUCCCCACUUCAUUCUCUCCACCUCCUCCUUGUCUCGGGUGCCUCCUCUUUUUCACCUCAUUUCCACCAUAGAUUCAUUCAAAUUAAGUGGUUAAAUUACCUUGUUUUAAUAGGUAAGUAAGGGGGGAAGCUAUAUUUAGGUUGUUCUCCUUACAACAAUGUGCACAUGCACUUUUUACGGCCUAGCUAGAUCUAUGUAUGUUCGUGGUGUUGCAUAUGUUUGUGGUGUUGCAUAUGUGUUUGUGUUUGAAGGUGUACCGGUAUUUGAUAUGCGAUAGUUGCCAAUAUUUUGCCAGAAUGUUGAUUCAUUUUCGUUUCGGCGAGAAUUUUGGCAUUAAGCAUUCUUUUUGGUCCUAUUUUUAGGGAAGGUCAUGCCAAAUUUUUGUUUGGUUCUAAAAUAUCGUUUUGCUCUACCCCGCAGGCGACCAUGGUCCGCACGAUGACCGAAGGCAUCGUGAAUAGGUUUUUGAGGUCCGCGAAGGCCGAGAUGCUUCAAAAGAAUGAGACGGAGAUAAGAUGUCCGUGUCGAAGAUGCAAGCUGAAGAGCCUUAUUGCGGACCCGGAUUCCGGGCAGGUGCGGGACCACCUGCUGUUGCGUGGUUUCAUGGAUGGCUAUCGGUGGCAAGGUGAUGAAGAUGACUACGAAGUCGUCCAUGCGGGCCGGGCAAGAAAUGAGGAAGGGCAGCAAGACAACCACCGCGGCUCGGGCGGGCGAGAAGACGAAGAAUCCCCAGGAGAUGAUCACGACUGUGAUGCUGUACACAGUCAUCAUGUAGAAGAUGCAGGACAUGAUGAUGAGGAAGAUGCCGGAGCAGGCGACGGGCAUGAUCAUGAAGAUGAUGAUGCCGGCGGAGCAGACGACGCUGGACCAUCGAUGGGCUGGGUGCAGGACCCUCAUAUUCAAGAGCUGCUUCUCAAGAAGACGGAUAACGCAAGAGCUGCCGCCCGAGAGAAAGCCAAGAUGGAUCAACUUGAGUUAGACGCGGUUACUCCAUUGUAUGAAGGAUGCAGGCCCGAGGAUACCCGCCUGAAAGUAACGCUCAUGGCCCUGGAGAUGAAGGUAAAACACAAAAUGACCGACGCAUGCUUCGACGAGAACAUGUCAUUCUGGCACGAACGUCUUCCCAAGGGGAACAAGUGCCCGACCAGUUUGGAGGAGGCGAAGAAAAUCGUGUGUCCUCUGGAUUUACCGCACGUGAAAUACCAUGUGUGCAUGAACAAUUGCAUCAUUUAUCGGGACGAGCACGCGGAGUCUACAAUAUGUCCGGUGUGCGGUGUCACUCGAUACAAGAAGAGGAAGAAAGCUCCUCGAAAAGUGGUGUGGUACUUUCCGAUCACUCCUCGUCUGCAGCGGUAUUUCGCGGAUUCUAAGGUAGCAAAGCUCCUACGUUGGCACGCGGAUAGGGAGGAGAAGAAGCGAGAAGAUGACGCAAAUGAUCCGGAGAUAGAUAAAAAAGACAAGAUGCUGAGUCACCCUAAGGAUGCGAGCCAGUGGCAAGCAUUGAACUUCGAAUACCCAGAAUUUGGGAACGAUCCAAGGAACAUCGUGCUGGGCGCGAGCACCGAUGGAGUCAAUCCGUUUGGCAGCCAGAGAAGCACACAUAGCACCUGGCCUGUGUUUGUGUGGAUGUACAACCUUCCCCCCUGGUUGUGCAUGAAGAGGAAGUACAUUCACAUGAGUAUGCUAAUUGAAGGGCCGAAACAACCAGGGAACGACAUCAAUCUGUAUCUGGGGCUGCUGAAAGAGGAGCUUGACACGCUGUGGAAAACGCCAGCCAAUACGUGGGACGCCGCAGAGAAAGAAUAUUUCCCUAUGAGAGCCGCACUGCUCACGACGGUGCACAACUAUCUCGGUUACGGAUAUCUUGCGGGGCAGGUAGUCCACGGAUUUUCUGGAUGCGUAAGGUGCAUGGAUGACACAACGUAUCGCCAGCUAGAUAGAGAUCCCGGGUCUUCGAAAACCGUGUUCAUGGGACAUCGAAGGUGGCUUCGCGACGAUGACCCAUGGAGGAAACGCAAGGAUCUGUUCGAUGGUGAAACCGAACCCCGAAAACGCCCGUGUACGAGGAGCGGCGAGGAAAUAGACAAGCUGUUGAAAAAUUGGAAAGACUGCCCACUGCCGGGAAAGAAGCAAAAGGCGCCAGAGCCGGGAAAGAAGCGAAAGGCGCCAGAGCCGCUGCUGAAGGUAUGGAAAACGAGGUCUGUUUUCUGGGACUUGCCGUACUGGAAGAUCCACCGUGUGCCUCACAGCCUUGAUGUCAUGCAUAUCACGAAGAACGUGUACGAGAGUCUGCUUGGUACCCUGCUCAACAUGCCAGAGAGGACCAAAGAUGGGCCGAAAGCAAGGGCAGACUUGAAAUCAAUGGGCAUCAGGCAGGAGCUUCACGCUAUAUAUGAUGAUGAUGAUGAUGAUGAUGAUGAUGAUGAUGAUGAUGAUGAUGAUGAUGAUGAGGCGAAGCAGGACACAGAAAGUCGUCGCAAAGGCAAAAAGGCCAAGAAGACCGGAAAUGACUACCCUCCUGCGUGCUUCACUCUAAGUCAGGAGGAGAUCGAGCAGUUUUUCACCUGCCUCCAGGAGUAAAACUUCCUUACGGUUACGCGGGGAAGAUAAGCAGAUACCUAGACCCAGCGAAGCAGAAGUUCAGCGGGAUGAAGUCUCACGACUGUCACGUGCUGAUGACGCAGAUACUUCCAGUUGCAAUCCGUGGGAUCAUGGACGCGCACGUCCGUGAAACGCUAUUUGGCCUAUGCAACUUCUUCGACGUCAUCUCUCGGAAGUCGAUUGGCGUGAGGCAACUCAGAAGGCUACAGGAAGAGAUCGUGGUGAUACUAUGCGAGCUUGAGAUGUACUUUCCGCCCGCAUUCUUCGACGUUAUGGUGCAUCUGCUGGUCCAUAUAGUGGAGGAUAUCAUCCAACUCGGGCUGACGUUCCUGCACAGCAUGAUGCCGUUCGAAAGGAUGAAUGGUGUCAUCAAAGGAUACGUUCGCAACAUGUCACGUCCAGAAGGAAGCAUAGCCAGGGGCUUUCUGACCGAAGAGUGCAUCUCCUACUGCACGAAUUAUCUAGGCAUCAAGAACCCCGUUGGUCUGCCCGUCAACAGGCACCUCGGCAGGCUCGCUGGAUGGGGUCACCGUGAGGGUCGCCGCGAAAUGCAUGUCGACUUCGAGGGUCGACUCGCCGACUUUGAAAGAGCAAACCUAGUCGCGCUACAACACAUAGACAUGGUCGAUCCUUGGUUGGUAGAGCACAAAACCUUUAUUAAAAAGACGUACAAUGACCGAGGCCAACAGAGGACGGACGGAGAUAUACUCAAAGAGCACAACUCAUGUUUCACGCGUUGGUUCAAGCAUAAGCUUCUGUCGUACCCUUUACAUGAGGAUUCUUCCGCGGAAGAACAACUCAUAUUCGCCUUGUCACAGGGCGCCGAGCACAACCUGAUGACCUAUGAGGCGUACGAUAUCAACGGCUACACAUUCUACACCGAGGCCAAGGACAUGAAGAGUGAUGGUUAUCAGAACUCCGGGGUAACGAUGGAAUCCUACACCAGUAACGACAAGGACAGAUACUACGGAAGGAUCGAGGAGAUCUGGGAGCUGAGCUACGCUGGAGAGAAGGUCCCGAUGUUCCGUGUCAGAUGGGCCAAGAACGUCAUAAAAGAAGACCGGUAUUUCACCACCAUGGUUAUACCCGAAGCCAAAUCCAAGACCGCGGGCGCAAACGUCACCGCAAAAAAUGAGCCAUGGGUACUGGCUUCCCAAGUGGACUAAUGCUUCUUCAUUACCGACCCGCCAAAGCCCAGUCGUGUUGUCGUGAGGAGAGGCAAAAGGAAGAUCAUCGGAAUGGAUGGAGUAGCCAAUGAGCAAGACUUCGACAAGUACGGCGACCCGAGGAUCGAACAUGACGACGAUGAUGAAGUAGCAGCAUACACCACAAGAAGAAGCAGGACCACCCUACCUAAAGGACGUCCGUUCCACAGAAGAACUCCAUUUGCGAAAAAUAAGGGCAAGAAGAUUGUGAACAGAUAGCUAGCUAAGAUCGAUUGUAUUUAAAUUGUAGCCUUCAUUUCUCGAUUGUAUUUCAUGGGUACUUUUUGAACUAUCAUGAAUAUUUUUAAAUUUCAUGGACACUCGAUCUCGAUCCCCCUCCAUCUCGAUCGCUAUCCCACCUUGCCAGAUCCGGCCCCCCUCGCCGCCGAGCACCCCCCAGUCCACCGGCCGCCGCCGCCGACCCCCCGCACCCUCGAUUCCCCUACCCAACCGCCGCCGCCGACCCCCCGCACCCCGCGCACCGUCUUAUAAAAAAAAUUAGUAUCAAACAGCUUUUUAAAUGCUACUGUCUUAUAAAAAAAAUAUUACUGUUAUUAUUUAAACAAGUUUGAACAUAUUUAAACACAAAUAANNNNNNNNNNNNNNNNNNNNNNNNNNNNNNNNNNNNNNNNNNNNNNNNNNNNNNNNNNNNNNNNNNNNNNNNNNNNNNNNNNNNNNNNNNNNNNNNNNNNNNNNNNNNNNNNNNNNNNNNNNNNNNNNNNNNNNNNNNNNNNNNNNNNNNNNNNNNNNNNNNNNNNNNNNNNNNNNNNNNNNNNNNNNNNNNNNNNNNNNNNNNNNNNNNNNNNNNNNNNNNNNNNNNNNNNNNNNNNNNNNNNNNNNNNNNNNNNNNNNNNNNNNNNNNNNNNNNNNNNNNNNNNNNNNNNNNNNNNNNNNNNCUUUUUAAAUGCUAAAAAAAAAUUUGUGGAGCCCACCUCGAUCCCCCUCCAUCUCGACCGCUAUCCCACCUCGCCAGAUCCGGUCCCCCUCGGCGCCGAGCACCCCCCAAGUCCACCGGCCGCCGCCGCCGACCCACCGCACCCUCGAUUCCCCGGCCUACUCAACCGCCGCCGCCGACCCCCCGCACCGCGCGCACCGUCUUAUAAAAAAAAUAAGUAUCAAACAGCUUUUUAAAUGCUACUGUCUUAUAAAAAAAUAUUACUGUUAUUAUUUAAACAAGUUUGAACAUAUUUAAACAUAAAUAAGUAUCAAACAGCUUUUUAAAUGAUAAAAAAAAUUUGUGGAGCCUAGGAGUCGAACCCAGGACCUCCUGGUGUGAGAACUGGCUGCUGACCAGUCGAGCUAGUAGAGUGGGCUUGACGUGGAUAGGUUCUGGUAGUACAUAACCUUUUGGCUCGAGUUGAAAUAAAAAAAAUACUAAUGGCGCACCACGGUGAGGUGCGCCAUUAGUAUGGACAUGCUAAUGGCGCACCACAGUGAGGUGCGCCAUUAGUAUUGUGGCCCGAUCCCCCUUCGCCCGAUCCCCCCUUCGCCCGAUCCCCCCUUCCCUCUCCCCCUCGCCAGUUCUCUCCCCCUNNNNNNNNNNNNNNNNNNNNNNNNNNNNNNNNNNNNNNNNNNNNNNNNNNNNNNNNNNNNNNNNNNNNNNNNNNNNNNNNNNNNNNNNNNNNNNNNNNCCGCCUCGACGCUGCCCCGCCGCCCCGACGCCGCCUCGACCCCGCCCCGACGCCGCUGCCCCACCUCGACCCCGCCCCGUCCACACCACCGUCGCCGGGGCACCCGUCCUCCCUCCGCGGCCUCUCCGGCUGCUACGAGUGCCGCGCCAUCAACGUCGAGCCCGUCUCAAGGUCUGCCGCCUGCCUAUGCCUAUGUCAGAUUUUUCUGGUGCAAAUCAUAUCUGGGGGGGGAGGUUGGCAGAGCUAGGCGUCCUCGCGGAAGAAAUAAUCACCGUGCACACGUUGUGGUCUUUGCUGCUUGUGCAUAAACACCAGAUAUAGAAAAAACAGCUAUUUAUCUCUCCCUGCAAAUUGACUGAUGCUAGUAUAGAUAUUUAGUAGAAUGAGCAGAGUUUGGUUUAUAAAUGUACCUUGGAAUUCGAUGUUCUUCAUGACAUCAAGGUCGAUGCCAGAGGCCACCUGGUAGAGUGUCACCAAGGUCUGAAGAAGAAAAGGAGUCCAUUAAAAAGAGAUAUUGCUCUUUCUAGCUUACAAGGUUCAUUAUAACAACAUAUUACGCGAAGCAACAGGAUUGCAUCCUACCGCAAUAGUAGAAAUUACGCAAGGAGACCAGGAGUCUAUUAGUGGUCAUUACUGCUAGUCAAAGGAAGUAGUGAACCAAAAUCUCAAUGUCCCUCUACAAGUUAUGGCAUACAAAGACUGGAAACUUUCGGUUAAAAAAAUUCCUCUUUCUCUGAACAAAAACAUUUUCAUUCAGUUAAAUGCAAAUUCACAAGUACAACCAUCCACAGUAAAGGAGCUAUGAACAUAUUAUUAUUUUGGUUACAGAAGCAUCCACACCAAAAUAUACAGGGAUGUAAAAAACACUUAGAAAGAAAGCACUUCAUCAAAACAAAGAGUUAAACCACAUGACAGAUAGGUAAGCUCUCCAUACAAAGCAUCCUAAAAUCGGUGCUGCACACAACAGUUGUUCUUGAGAUCGUGGUGGUGGGUAUAAUUGAUGGAUUCAAUUACAUCAUACAAUAUGCAAAUCGGCAAGCGCGCACAAUGAAAAUGUGAGUAACUCUUUUGCUAAGAGAGAACAGUGUUUCCUGACCAACAAUGAGACUACUAAUAGCAACUUAAUGAGACGACCGAAUAAACAUACACAGGCAUAGGCAGUACACCUAGCAAUCUGACAUGGCAUCACAUAUUCACUAAAAGGCAUAGGCAUAGGCAAGAUUUUUCUGGUGCAAAUCAUGUAAUAAAGAACUGAAAGGGAGUCAGUUAGUAUGGCCACCUAAAGUUCGGUCCAGGAUGGACGAAGCUCCAAAAGUUUGAAUUUGAGAUCGAGGGAGAACUUCUGGGGUUCUGUUGUGGGUUAUGAUUCCUCGUACAACGCUCACAACCUGAAUAGAUAUGAUUUUCUGUUGUGAGAAGUUGAAGGAUUUGAGGUUGGCUCCUGUUGAAACUUGGCUAGAGAUACAACUUUGUUUUGUCAUUGGGAAGUGUAAAGCAUUGGAGAAGAUUUAUUGUUGAUGCUCACACCUCCAGAAUAUUUAGUUAAAACCUUCUGCUGAACUCAUUAAGUUGUUGACUGCGCAUUAUGGAGAAAAUUGUAUUUCUGCAACCAGAUUCAGCUACUGUCGUUACAACACUGUCUUUUGAGUAAAUUGAGACUCCACAUCAUCACUGACAUCGCAGGGCCAUUUCUGUCAGAUCCGUUGUCGAACUCCUCUAACUUGGAAACUUGGGUUAUGUGUUACUCUUUCUUCUGAAGUUGUGCUUCUGUGUUAUAAAUCUCUGAAGUUGUGGUUCUGCAAAAAUCGUGCCGCUGAAGUUGUUUGUUAGUGCUUCAAGUUAUUUAUCUUCUUUUAGGUUAUUUAUCACUUGUGUUAUUAUUAUACAUCUUGUGCUCAUCUUGUUUAGCUUAGGUUGUUGGUACACUUAGUUUUUGGGCCUCAACAUAUUUACCAUUUGUGUUUGAAAACUAAACAAGUAGUUUGUUUAUACAUUUGAACCUAAUACCAAUUCAUUCAUCUCCAUACCACUGCAGACACAACAGAACAGAGGCACUUCAUCACCCACGGCUGAGAAAGCAAGGUAGAAUCACCACUGCAUACAUACUAUUUCUCUUUUUUUCUGUUCUUUUCAGAUCAAUAUUGUUGUGAUCUUUCAUGUCUUUUAUAACAGGGAAAAUGGUUGUAUAUGAUAGACAUCGAACCGUUUCUGUAAACUGAGUACUAACUGAGUUCCCUAAAAAAAGAACCUUAGUACUAACUGAAAUAUGAUGGAACAGAAAAUACAAUGAAAUCAAUAUGGAACAUGCUAGAUAAAUAUUGCCAUGAAACCAGAUGACACUGAUAAUUUUAGUGGAAAACAAAGGACUCUUCUGUUAUUUUUAGUGAAAAGUUGGUCCACCGACCACUCACAUAUCCAAUUUCCAUGAUCCUCAACGGAAGUCAGAAACACAACAUAUCCAUGGACUUCUCAUUGUUCAAAAUCUUCUCUUAGGAUUAACCACAACAGCAUAUCGGGGGUUCAGGAAUCAAAAUAUCAGUUACAUCAAGAGUUAGCAAUGACCAAACUGGCAUGUAACAGAGACACUAUAAAAGAUAGCCAACAUCCAGUUAGGCCAACAUAACAGUGAACAAAACUACUGUCAAUCAGCUCAGUUAAUUCAGUUAGGCACACAAAUUUCAGAACUUUUGUGUGCCCUAGUACUUGGUGUUUGUAGAAAACCAAGAGUGUCAAUGGGACUAGAAUUCACUUGUUCUUAUAUGGGUUUGUAAAACUUGUUCAUGUACUGAACUACUAAUGCCUUGUGAUGCUCUGAAUUACUUGUGAUGCCUCUGAAUUACUUGUGAUCACAUUGAGAAAGACUUGUAAAGAUGAUGAUCAUCUUUAACAGAAAACAAUUUGUGAUGAUUUUGCUAGUUUGCUGGGUUUUGUCUCCGACCAUCGUGUCGUGAUGAUUUUGCAGGUACCCCGAGAGGCCCUUGAGUUUGCCGGAAUGUCGAUUAACUUCCGUUCCGGCAAAUUCGGGUACUCCAUAUGUCCUAUUUUCAGCAAAGGUCAUGCUGAAAUUUUCCGUGAAUUUUAGCAUGACUUUGCUAAAAAUAGGACAUAUGGGGUACUUGUGACUAAUGCAUAGGCCGGGGUAUCUUAGUAGUUAAUUAAUUAGGAUCAAGUGCCCCGGCGUACUUGUGACUAAUGCAUGGCUUUUAGGGUGCCUCGGUGUCGAUAAAAACCGAAAUGAUGAAAAGUUAGGCUUUUAGGGUGCCUUGGCGUCGAAAAACCCUCAAUGAUAAAAGCUUAGAUUUUAGGAUGCCUCGGUGUCGACAAACCCUAAAUGAUGAGACCAUGAUCUUGUUCCUUGACAAUAACCAACUUUUUGACCAAACUUUGUUUCUAUUUAGAGAGAAACAUGGCCCACAACGAUGAGGCCGGGGGUUCGGGCGGCAAGGCAUUCUGGGAGCUGUCCCAGGAGAUGGAGGAACAACCUCACUUGUAUGAGGCCGCCGCCUUCCCCACCGAUCCUGAGACCACGGAUGGUGCCGCCGAGGAUGACCACACUGAUGCCACCACUGAUGGUGCCGCCGAGGAUGCCACCACUGAUGAUGGCAGCGCACGCACAGAUAGCAGCCAGCCAAAGAGGCAACGGAAGGACCGGCGCCCGAUCGUGCUCCGCACCCUCAAGGAGGAAGUUACUGAAGUGGACUCCAACGGGAAUCCAACGGCGCCCGAACGAAUAGUCAAGGGGUACUCGCUUCAGCUCGGGUGCAUUGUCCGGAGCACCGUCUCGAUCAACACCGAGAACCUGAGGCAUCCUGACCGGGGGAAUUUGCGCCACCUCCUCUUCACGAAGCUGCACGAACGAUACAAGUUCCCCGCUGAAUUCGAAAACACAAGCCUCAAAGGGAAUAAAGUGAACAAUGCUGCCCUCACGAAGAUGAGCAAGGCCCUGUCUACUUGGAAAAGCAAUGUGAAGAGAAUGAUCGAGAAAGGUGAGAGUUAUGAGAAGAUCAAGGAGAAAAAUCCUUCGAUCACCGAAGAUGACUACAACGACUUCAAGAUCAAUUGCUCGAGCACCGCAAGCUCCCAAUCAAGUGAGUGGGGGAAACAAAUGCGGGAGCUGAACAUAGGGGAACACACACUCAGUCCCGGCGGUUACAGAGUGGCGGAGCCUAUAUAUGGGACAAGGAGGAGGCGGACCGUGCCGAGCAAGGCCUACCGCCCCUCUUCGAUAAAUACGGUGACAAGCAGACCAGGAACUUUGUCAGGGCCCGGUACAAGAAGGACCCGAAAACAAAGGAGCUUACCACGGAUCCGAAGACCAGGCGGCUUGAGCUUGUUCUGGUAAGGAAUACACCCCCGCGUAAUUAGCUCCAUAUGGUUGCAUUCUAAUUAAUGAAGCCGAAUUUCUAAAUGGUUCACAUUCCUUCCGCAGGCGACUGAAAGCAGUAGCGCGGGGUCGACUCAGAGCAACCCUUGGGACACCACUCUAAAUAGGGGGUUGAAUAUAAUGAAGAACAAGGAUAAGCUCAGUAAGCCGACGUCAGCUGGUCGUGUGGCCGGCAAAGGCUUGUCGACAAAAUGGGGGUCAUACUAUACUGCUGGUGUGCGGAAGGAGAAAAAGACCAGCUCGGAAAGCCAGGCGCGAGAGGUUCAAGAACUCAAGGCACAGGUGGCGCGGAUUCCGGAGAUUGUCCAAGAGCAAGUGGAACAACGACUCGGAGCGACGAUCACCGCCCUUGUGCCUACCUUGAUCUCGGGGUUGAGUGCGUGGAUUGCGGGCGGCCAACAGGGGCCGCCCCCGAUUCCUAGCUUCACGGCCAGCGACUCGCAUAAUGCGAUGGCGGGGCCAUUGGUGCCUCCGGCGGAGGCGGCAUUGGUGUCUCCGACGCCGGCACGGGAGCUUAAUGCACCCGGGUGUACGCCGGCCGGCACCUCUUCAGCAAGCGGCCGCUCCGUCAACUGCACGCCCGCCGUUGGCGGUGCCUCGACAUUAGCCGAGCUCGACGCCAUCAUCACGGUAACUAAUUAAGCCUCUCUCGGCCGAGGACUUCAUCUCCUUGCCUUUGACUGGGCAUCCCUGACGCCCUACAUGUUUUCGCAGGGCGCCGCCGACGUUCCGUGCACUCUCCUCCACUUCGUGAACAACGAGUUGGUCGAUGUCGCCAAGGGCAAAAUCGUUCAACCGGGCAACCCCUUGUUCCACGGUACCCAGAUGCCACCCAACUUGUUUAGGGUUCAACUGGUUCGGGUGCUGCCAGGCUGCGACGACUUGUUACCUCCGAUUCGACCCGUCGGGGCCGACGAUGAUGACGUGAUGACCCUCAGCGCCUGCCUGAGCUGGCCCCUGCUUUGGCCGAAGAGCCAGAUUCAUUUGGGGGCGGGGGACACCACCCCAAAGACAACACCGCCAGUCGUGUCGGCGCCAAGUCGGCCCCAUGGCAAGACCGCCGUAACGGUGCCGGACAUCCCUAUGCCACUGGAUCCAAACAUGCAUAUGGCACAGGAUCAGAACGACGACGACGACGACGAUGAUACAUUUGGCAACGUCGAUCAGUACUUUGCCGAGCAUGGGUACGAUGGCGACUUCAUGGGGCCUCCUUCUCAAGAACCAAACCCAACAAAAGACGUGUGCGAUCUAGCUCGUACCGCGGAGAAGCCAAGUUGCAACAGGCGCCGUCUGGCGUUCAGCUCUCAGGAGACGCCUCCAGCUGCCGACUUCACCGAGCCUCAGAUAGGCGAGGUGCGAAAUAUUAUCAGCCCCAACACACUCAAGAAGGCGGUCUGUGAGCAGAACUCGGUCCCAUUACAGGAGAAGAAGAAGGCACGCAAAAGAAAGACUAAGAAGGGUGCGAGCCAGCCGGCACCGAGUACGAUCCGUGCUCAGGACGGGCCACCUUCACCGCAGGAUAUCUCGAGGAGGGUGCAUGUGGCGGGUAGGGCGAUGCUACCACCAAAUAUGCUCAAUGCUGCAACCGGUGCUAUGCGGAGUCUGCACGACAGUGUUCUUUCUUUGGAGAAGCGGUGUCUCAGAGAGAAGGAUGUGGCAUACCCGGUUUUCAUGGCCAAGGUGCCAGAGGGCAAGGGCUUUGUGGAUGGCGACAUCGGGGGUACGAUCGUCCUGCGGUUUGAUGACAUCUUUGCUAUGUUUAACCUUCAUCCGCUGCACUACACCUUCGUUCGGCUAUUUUCGCUGAGUAUGGAGAUGCGGAUCAUUCGCGACAAGACCCCGGACAUCGUGAUAGUCGACCCCUUCUACAUGCGUACCAAGAUCUUGGGCAGCGCUGGGGACCGGCAAGUCGCGAGUUCUUACCUCGAAGGCGUCAUUCUGGCAAACCAAGAUAAGGAUAACUUCCUCGUGCCUUACUUUCCCGAGUAAGUCCUCCCCUCAACCGGCCCGUAACAUAUGAAUUCUUACUUUUCGAUCGUUUUUCUUUUAACAUUCCGUGUUUUCUGCAGUGACACACAUUGCACGCUCAUCCUCCUAAGCCCCAAAUAUUCCAUGGCCACGUAUUUCGAUCCGGACCGUCAGUCGAACGUAGACUACACAAAUGUCAAGAAGGUUCUUGAUGAUGUUCUCCCCGGCUACGCCCAAUCUGGAGGCACCUUCACCAGGCCUAUUCGUAAGUACGGCAAGCACGUGUUCUCCCACAAUACGACGUUCUGCUGCGUCAAGCAGCCGCCUGGCGGUCAGAAGGGUGCCUACUACGCCAUCCAUCACAUGCGGGCGAUCGUACGGGACCAUCAUCAACUUCUGCUACCGAGUAAACUCCAAGAUUGGGCCGCGAGCGUGUCGGCAAUCCAGGACGCGGACCUCCGACAAGAAUUCUUUCGCAUCCAGUCGGAGUUUGCGGAAAUCAUCCAUCAAGAUGUCCUUCGUACCUCGGGGCAGUUCUACCUCAGAAAUCAACCGUCCAACAGUGACAUCGACACAAUGCUACAAAUGCAGGAUGACAACGCCCGUUCUUUCAUGACUCCCACGAUAGACGACGGCUUCAUCCACGCUCCGGUCCCUUGAGUCGAGUUGUCUAGUUCUGAAACAUCGAUUGGCUCAUGUUGUAAUUAAACUUUAAUGAACUUGUAGUAUGUCUCUUUGGUUUUGAGAAUCGUUCAACUUAGAUGUAAUCGAUGCUAUUAAUGUCUUGCUUUUCUCUUACGAUCGUUCUGUUGCAUAAUUAUAUAUUGCUUAUGUAUUGUCUGUGAAUUGGUACUAACGUUUCGUUUGGCUAGUGCAUAGUGAUGCCGACGUAUGUCGUAUACAAGGGUAAGGUUCCCGGAGUCUACGAUGACUGGGAGGAGUGUCGGAGACAGGUUCACCGAUUCAGCGGUAACAGUUACAAAGGGUACACCACUAGGGCCGAGGCCGAAUCUAGAUACGCCCGCUAUCUAGUGGGAGAGGGGAGGGAGCGUUGGAGGAACCGGAUGAAGACGAGUUUCAUCGUGAUGAUGCUCAUCGUGAUGACCGCAGCUCUCUUCUAUGUGAUGGUAGUUUAGAUGAUCGAUAUCGACUUGUAAUGCGAAGACAAACUCGCUACUCGCGGUCUCGAGACUUGUAAUAUAAUGUUCUAUCUUUGUUCGGUCUUUUUAAUUCGGAGACUAAUAUGAUGAAUUGUAUUCGGAGACUAAUAUGAUGAAUUGUAUUCAAAGACUAAUCUUCUAUUGUAUUUGAUGAAUCUAUUGUUGAUGUGUGCUGUCUAUAUUUUGUCAAAUUAUACAUUUUGUAACCUGUGCAAAAAACAGAAAAUAAAAAAAUAAAAAAAAACCUAAUAUUCAUACUAAUGGCGCAUCACACGACAGUGCGCCAUUAGUAUGACAGUGCAUACUAAUGGCGCAUCACCGGGUAGUGCGCCAUUAGUAUGCUGCGGUUACUAAUGGCGCAUCCAGAGGUGGUGCGCCAUUAGUAUGCCAAAGCACCUGGGUAUACAUGCCAACUGGGAGGCAUACUAAUGGUACACCCUCGCAUAUACUAAUAGCGCACCAGCUGGUGCGCCAUUAGUAAAAAUUACUAAUGGUGUGCUAUCAAUGGCGCACCAGUGAUGCGCCAUUAAUGACCAUAUUAGGUGCGCCAUUAAUAGUGGUAUUUCUAGUAGUGUCAGAAGGCAAGAAAUUGGAAAUAAUUAUGUUCUUUGGUGGACUAAAUGAUUGUAAGGAAAACAACAAAGCACACGCGAAUAUAAUGAAGUUCGGCUUGAGCUUGAUUUGCAUCACGAGCCAAAUGGUGAGCUCUAGCUCAGCUCGCGAGCUUAGGGAUGAGCUCAAGCUCAAGCUUGACUCAUCGGAGACUUGACGAGCUCGCAAAGCCCGAUAUUGUUUUAUUUACAAAAUUCGACCAACACAUUACAUAUGUGAUUGAGCUUACAUUAAAAUUCGACAAGCACAGUACUACUCUAACUUUCAUGCAUUUGUACUGAAAUUAACUUGAUUGAGUUUCUGUUAAAUCAGAUAACUCAAAACUUCUUUCAAAACAAAUAUUGUGCUUAAACUUUUCAUGCAGAACGGCAGAUUUUGUAAUAUUAAACAGCUUACAUGUAAAAAAAGACCCGGAUGGGCACACUCAGAGAGUACACAAGCAUAAAAAUACAAUCUUGUAACACAACCUAGCAUGCAAAUAGCUUUAGAAAAGAACUGCAGAUGGAAAAGUCUUUCCGGUGUAAAAGAAACCUAACUUUGAUUCAGCUUCAAGUGUAGCAUUGAUGCUUCCCUCUGCUACUUUAAUUGACCAUGCUUUCAAUCGACUUGGAUUCCAAUCUGCAGGGCGAAAAACUUCAAUGAGCAACCAUUGAGAGAUCAAGAACAUAAAAGAACAACGCUGCACUCGUUUAGUAUUCAUAUAUACUGCAUAUAGAAUGGCAUUUACAGCAGAAUACUAGCACUGAACAUUUACAACAGAAUACUACAAAAAUAUAAAUAUUUUGGGAUUGGAUUGGGUCCAAAUUUUGGCAUGAGACAAAAACUUGACACUUGAUUUGCCAAAUACUGGCAACUUUUGAUAGUGCCAAAAUUGGUAUACAUAAUCUUAUAGGCACUAAGUCACUAAAGGGUUCACUCUCCCCACUAAACCAUUCAAACCCCUUGUGCUACAUACUUUAUAAUACAGAUAGCACAACCUUAGCAUGUUCUCAGAAUCAAUGUAACCAAAGCAUCAACAGAUUAAUGAUCUACAAGCUAAAACAUGGCAUCAUUUGACUUCAUGUUCUGAUUAGCAUCAGGCAUCAGCUAUCUAAGCAUGCACUCUGUUCCUGUUUUCACGGAUGGUUAUCCAUGAAUUUUAUUGGUUCUCGUAUUAAUCUAGGACACUCUGUAAAUAGCAUGAGUCAUCCAAAGCAGAAUCCAGAUCUAUAAAUCACAUGCCAAUAUAUGACGAUAAUACCACAUGUGAUUGCCAUCACCGCGUAAUCCAACUGAUAUUUCAGUGAUUUCACAUGGUACCCCAUUAGUGUCCUGUGGCAAUUGCUCUGAUUUAAUGUCUCCAUGAACCGCGUCAUUAAGGCCCAGCCUUCUUCUCGGUCCCUCAUCUGCCCUCACAGAUCUUUUACGAAUGCGCAUACAUAAAUCUAUAUGGGAGAGGGGGGAAUGGGAGGAUCGUAGUAUACCUUGAUGCUGAGCGUGAGAGGCGAAGGAGGAGCCCACCACCGGCUUGCCGCCGGCGAGCUAGGACCUUGACAGGGGACGGAGGCACGGAUCACACCGACGAGCUGCUCCUGGGACUGAGUGGGGAAGGGGUGAGUAGCCCACCACCGACUGCUGCUAGAAGGGGGCGAGCUGCUGCUGUUAACGGAGAUGAGGAGGAUGCGGAUCUUGGCCGUCGCUACUCCCCCGCUACCGUCCACAAGCGGGAGGGAGAUGGGCGAGGGUGACUCGUGGUUGCGUUCGGAGGAGGAUAUCGGGAGCAAAUUAAUCAGAAUCGAGGGUCCUUAUUGCUAACUGUCCGCAUAGAUCCCACCAUGAUAAUUUGUACCACUUAUCCCAAUUUGGACGGCCCAGAUCUAUUUUUCUAUUUUUUUCACCUGAAGCUCUUCUUUUAUUCUAGUCGUUCCCGUGGGGUGUCCAAGCGAUGCAGGAAAAAAAAACCACUGAUGGAGAUGGAGGGGAGCUACAGCAGAGGCGCAUAUGCAACACCUUUAGUCCCACCUCGCCCGUGGGAAAAGAACACUAGUUUAUAGGUAGACAGUGUUGUGUCACACGCAAAUAGCGCGUGCGCUCGCGUGAAUAUCCGCGUUGACUUAGGAGUUUGGCAUAGCCGGCCGCCUCCGUCUCCUUUUUUAUUUUCCUUUUUCUGACUUUGGUCCUCAUAUUGGGUCAGUCAAUUCUUUAACAGGCUGAAAGUCAAUGGUACGAUAUGACAAUGUCGUGCGUGUUUCGUCUGCAAUGGUCAUGCGUGUAGCAGUGCUCUUUGAAGUUAUACACCUGGUUUUCUCAUGAAUAAAAUAAUAUUUUCGCAAAAAAAGUCUUCAACAACAAAGUUAGUUUAGUGCAAACUCGCCUUUUAACCAAGGCAGAAUUCCUUACAAGCUCGGCUUCAAUGGCUUUAGCCCUGAGCACAUUAGAAAACCCGAGGUUGUUGGUAUCCAAGGUUGCUCCGCAGAGGUCAGUGAGACGUAAGCCGACAAUAAGAGUCGUGGUUUCACACACGGCACAGUUGUUGUCGGCAACCUCCCAACAAAGAUUGACUGCAUGCGGUGAGAGGGGAUUGUGACAGGUUUCCAGUAGCAGGGCUGAUGCUCUUCAUGCCGGGUGUCACGCCCAAUAUGCGACCCUAUCCAAAAGGAACUCGAAGGUUCCACUAAGGAUAGACCCGCAUAUUGAAACGCUUUUGCAAGGUGGAUAUCAUUACAUCAACAUUACAUAAUAGGUAGGGAUACAUACAAGGGGCAUACAAUGCCACAUGAAUACAACAUCAUCUUACAUAAGAGCACCAUCCGACUACGGAUGAAACACAAACAGAAACUCAAAUGACAUCCACCCUGCUAGCCCAGGUUGCCGACCCGGAACCUAUCCCCUAAUCGAAGAAGAAGCAGAAGAAGAACUCCAAAACAAGCAAACAUCGCUCUCGCGUCAUGAUCAUCGCAUAACCUGUACCUGCAACUGAUGUUGUAGUAAUCUGUGAGCCACGAGGACUCAGCAAUCCCAUUACCAUGGGUAUCAAGACUAGCAAAGCUUAAUGGGAAAGGAAGGGGUAAAGUGGUGAGGUUGCAGCAGCGACUAAGCAUAUAUGGUGGCUAACAUACGCAAAUGAGAGCGAGAAGAGAAACAAAGGAACGGUCGUGAAGCUAGCAAUGAUCAAGAGGUGAUCCUGAACUCCUACUUACGUCAGACAUAACCCAGAAACCGUGUUCACUUCCCGGACUCCGCCGAGAAGAGACCAUCACGGCUACACACACGGUUGAUGCGUUUUAAUUCGGAUCUGGUGUCAAGUUAUCUACAACCGGACAUUAACAAAUUCCCAUCUACCACAUAACCGCGGGCACGGCUCUCGAAAGUUUAUACCCUGCAGGGGUGUCCCAACUUAGCCCAUGACAAGCUCUCGCGAUCAACGAAGGAAUAGACCUUCUCCCAGGAAGACCCGAUCAGUCUCGGAAUCCCGGUUUACAAGACAUUUCGACAAUGGUAAAACAAGACCAGCAAAACCGCCCGAUGCGCCGACAAUCCCGAUAGGAGCUGCACAUAUCUCGUUCUCAGGGCAACAUCGGAUGAGACUAGCUACGAGUAAAACCAGCCUUCAAGUUGCCCCGAGGUGGCCCCGCAGGCAGCUCAGUUCGGACCAACACUUAGACAAGCACUGGCCCGGGGGGGCUAAAAUAAAGAUGACCCUUGGGUUGGCCGACCCAAGGGAAGGGUAUAGGUGGUGGUGAGGCAAAUGGUAAAACCAAGGUUGGGCCUUGCUGGACAAGUUUUAUUCAAAGCGAACUGUCAGAGGGGUCCCAUAAAUCACCCGACCGCGUUAGGAACGCAAAAUCAGGGAACAUAACACCGGUAUGACGGAAACUAGGGCGGCAAGAGUGGAACAAAACACCAGGCAUAAGGCCGAGCCUUCCACCCUUUACCAAAUAUAUAGAUGCAUUAAUUAAAUAAGAGAUAAUAUGAUAUCCCAACAUAACCCUGUCCACCAUGGAGCAAUCUUCAACUUCACCUGCAACUAACAACGCUAUAAGAGGGGCUGAGCAAAGCGGUAACAUAGCCAAGCAACGGUUUGCUAGGAAGGGUGAAAAGGUUAGAGGCUGACAUGGCAAUUUGGGAGGCUUGAGCAACAAGAGAUAGGUAGCACGACAAAGCGAUAGAACGAAGCAACUAGCAUAGCAAUGAUAGUAGUGAGAUCCAGGGUGACGGUCAUCUUGCCUGAAAUCCCGCUAGGAAGAAGAACGAGUCCAUGAAGAAGAUGAAGCCACGAAGACGAACCACACGUAGACGAACGCAUCAUCACGAUCGCAACGAAACGAGAACUAUUGAGAAGAAGCACACAACAUGGUAAACACACCACACAUGAACAAGACAUGAUGCACAACAUGCAUGAUGCAUGACAAUGCUAAAUGGAGCUACUCAUGGCAAGAGAUGAUGCAAACAAGAACAACACAUCAAGGCAAGUUUAAAUGAGGCCGGGAACAACAUAUAACAACUCCGGUAAGUCCUCAUAUGCAUAUUUAGAAAUUGGUCCAGAUCUGAAUAAACCUUAUGUUCAAGUUGUUAAACAGCAAGUUAAAGAUCACCAAGAUGAACUACACGAAAUUCUAGUCAAGUUACAUAUAAAGUUCAUUAGAUUUGGAGCUACGGCCUAGAAGAUAUGAGCAAAACAAGUUAAGCAUGGCAUUGAUGCAAAAUGCAUACAAACAUCAAGCAAACACACCAAAACAUGGAUGCAACAUGAUAAUAUGAAGCUACAUGCAAAAUCGAGCAAGUUUCAUAUAGAGCACACUCAAAACGGAGCAACGGUUCAACACAUGCACUCUAUACAAGUCAUAGCAACAAUCUGCCCAUAACAGCAACUAGGCAUAUUGCAAGCAUCAAAACAAUAUGCUACAGCACCCCAACAUAAAAACAAAAGGCAUGGGCAUGAAGUACUGGUAAAGCGUAACAAAACAUGAACACUGAGCUAUCUCCAGAAAUCACUAGAACAUGCUCAAAAGGACAUGGGAAGAUUGCAAAUAAUAACAGUUUCAGACUUUAGCAGAAAUAACAUCAGGUUGCAAUGUUUAGAGCUAUCAAACAACAUGUUACAGGAACAUAUCAUGGCAAACAAAGACAUGGCAUGAAUCUACUAAAAGCAUAGAACAACAGUCCCUUACUGACCAUGAGCCAAAAAGGAUCAGAAAGUAUGAUGGCACCCACGUAAACAUGGCAAGUUAUAUGACAGAUUCAUACAUGGCAGGAACAACAAUAAGUAGGCAUGUUGGUGAGCUUGAACCACUCACCACAGAGCAAUACAUGGCAUAGCAAGGCAACCAACAGUAAGAAGGCAUGUUUAUGAAGCUAAGCAUGGCAGGAGGAAGGUCAUAGGGUUCAUGGAUCACUAGGAAAACACAUGGAAACAACUGAACUUAAUGUAAACAGGCUGACAGCAACAUUAUGAAGCAACUUUAGAGCAAGAUAACAACAUGUUCCAUUAGUCUAUAAAUGCAACCAAGGGCAUGAAUGGAUAGAGCAUGACAUGUAGAUCAAAACAUGUUUAUAGAGCAUCUCCAGAUUAUGCAUAGAAUGAUUAGUAGAAGCAUGUUAACAUGGCAACAAAAUAUAACAGAAUCUGUCAGGAAAACAGCAACAACAACUACCCUACUUAGCAAGCUUGAUACACUCAGCACACAACUCACAAAAAUACAUGGUUGGCACCCCUGGAAAGAUGGCAUAGCAUAGAUCAAAACACAUUUAGACAUCAACCUCAUAGGAUGCACACAUCAAACAUGGCAAAAAUGAUAAAUGAGCAAGUUAUAACAGUUUCAGCAGAUUAACAUCAACAUGCACUCUUCCAACAGCAUUUCGGGCAUCGAGAUGAGCUCAAAUGAAAAUGAUGCAAUGUAAUGAAAUGAAGUACUCGCCGAGGCGAACAAUUUGACAUAUUACACGCCCAAAACGGAGCUACGGAUGCAGAGAUACAGCAUGAUGAACAUGGAAUGAUUAUGUCACAGAUUCGGGGACUUGGGCAAAUUUCAAAGGGGGGAAAGUCAACCUAUCCGGAUCUGGAUCGGAAUCCCGGCGCGGAUGCCGAGGACAGCCGGGGUUCGCCGGAGCAGAGGACGGGGAGGCGGCCGGCGGGGCGGAGAGGAGCUGGCCCGGCCGGAUCCGGCCGGAUCCGGCGCGGCGGCGGCGGGCUGGGCGGAGCCGGCCGNNNNNNNNNNNNNNNNNNNNNNNNNNNNNNNNNNNNNNNNNNNNNNNNNNNNNNNNNNNNNNNNNNNNNNNNNNNNNNNNNNNNNNNNNNNNNNNNNNNNNNNNNNNNNNNNNNNNNNNNNNNNNNNNNNNNNNNNNNNNNNNNNNNNNNNNNNNNNNNNNNNNNNNNNNNNNNNNNNNNNNNNNNNNNNNNNNNNNNNNNNNNNNNNNNNNNNNNNNNNNNNNNNNNNNNNNNNNNNNNNNNNNNNNNNNNNNNNNNNNNNNNNNNNNNNNNNNNNNNNNNNNNNNNNNNNNNNNNNNNNNNNNNNNNNNNNNNNNNNNNNNNNNNNNNNNNNNNNNNNNNNNNNNNNNNNNNNNNNNNNNNNNNNNNNNNNNNNNNNNNNNNNNNNNNNNNCGGGGGCGCGGCGGCGGACGCGUCCGGCUCCAUCCGGACGUGUCCGGCGGCGCGGAGAGGAGCGGGGCUAGGGUUUCGGGGGAUUAGAUCGCGAAUUUGGAGGGGGGGGGCAUAUAUAUAGGUAGAGGGAGCUAGGAGAGUCCAAAUGAGGAGCGGUUUUCGGCCACGCGAUCGUGAUCGAACGACCGAGAGCAUAAAGGGGAGUUUGCUGGGUUUUGGGCCACUUUGGAAGGGAUGUUGGGCUGCAACAAAAGAGGGCUUUGCGGUUACCCGGUUAACCGUUGGAGUAUCAAACGACCUCCAAAUGGCACGAAACUUGACAGGCGGUCUACCGGUGCUAUACCAAGGCCGCUUGGCAAACCUCGGGCCAUUCCGAGAAAGUUUAACACCCGCACAAGAGAAGAGGCAAAAAGGGGGCGCCGGAGGACAUAGGAGUGUCGGAUUGCAAAACGGACAACGGGGAAAAAGCUCGGAUGCAUGAGAUGAACACGUAUGCAAGAUGAGAUGCACAUGAUGACAUGAUAAAAUGCAACACGCAAGCAAAUGACGUGGCAAUGACGGCGAAUAACUGGCGGACACCUGGCGCAUCGAAUCCGGGGCGUUACACCGGGCCUUCGCUACGAUCGUGGCGGUGUAGUUCCUGCUGGGCCUUCGCAACACUCGCCAUCACGACAGUUAAUGUGACGAAGAUGUCAGUGCAGGAGCUGCUCGACUACCUCGACCCUUUUACAUGCGACUGCAACUCAAUUAGGUAUAUUAAAGUCAUUGACUUCAUUAGCAAAUUCAGAGUAAUGCAAGAGGAUAACUACAUGUGCCAAGGCUACCAAACCGGGUGCGACUUUGACGGUGAUUAUUGUACCUCGCAAUUUCAAUCGGUGAAUACGAGUGAGUUCCUUUUAACGACGCAACCGCCUUGAUGAAGGGCAUGUCAAGUCCAACUAGUCACCAUGCUGGCGGAGCUAGGGGUGGGAGAGGGGGGAGGGCAUGCCCCCCACCCCAUGGUUAAUUGUUUUUUUCUAAAAGUGCCCCUACAUAUUUAUCUUAAAAUGUUAGAAAAUGUAUAUGUUUGGCCCCUUCAACGUCUUAAUUUUUUCAUUGCCCCCUCUGUAUAAGAUUCUUGACUCCGUCCCUUGCUAGGAGGGCCAACACUCCCAGGUCGGUGUUUUCAUGGCUUAUACUAUGACCUUUGUGAUAUAAAUGAUACGUAUUACCAUGUAAAAAGUGCCUAUUUUCAAGUCUUGACCUCAAAGAAUUUUUGGGGACAUAGGUCAAUUUAAACAUUAACGGCUACUUCCUCCAAUUCAAAGUAAGUGUCGUGGUUUUGGUUCGUGUUUGAACCAAAAUUAUGGCAUUUAUUUUGGGUCGGAGGGAGUACAUUUUAAUACCAGCUCCCACGUGUCGACGCUAAGCACUGACUGAUGUUGCAGAAGACGAUAUUAUCCAGUAGACUGGGCUCUAUUCUGCGGCAAAGGUGACCGAGAUGGGGAUCCUCACGGUGUGCUUCUCAGACACCCCCAUUCGAACUUGGAGAGGAUAUUAGUGUCCUGACAUUAAUUGUAGGUACAAUCAACUAAAAAUGAACCUCAUUUCAGUGAAGGAAGUGGGUGGAUUAUAGGACCAAUCUUUUUUAGUUGAUGAAUAUAUCCCGAUCUCGAUCUUUGCCUCUGUAUCACCUGUUCACCCUAUGAUAUGGUUUACCAAGAGGUAUCAUGUUGUCAUUUCAGCAGCUCAUGCAUUUGUGUCUUUUCCUGAUUAGGUGCCCAAAGUUUCAGAUUAGUAUGAUCUAGAGUUAGUGUAAUUUGUUAGCAUCUGAGGUGGUGCGGGAGCUUGGGUGAAGACCCUGUCCCGACUUUAUGCCGUGACCAAUGGUAAUGGCGGAUGUGGCUGUCGUUAACCUUUUUGAAGGCAUCGCCGCUUUGCUGUCGUACUCCAUCCGCACGGAUCCGGCCAUCACAGCCUCUCUUGGGGAAACACUUGAUCUUGUGUGAUCGGACGACGGCGGCGCCUUGGCUUCGUAUAGCCUCUUGGGGGCUUCAUCUUUGGAGCUUGGCAUCGGUGAGUGGGACCAAUGGAUGAUAGUAGUUUUGACGCCCAAGCUUCUGUGGGAACAAUGAUGGUGGGUGCAAUGUCAGCCAUGCGACAAUGGUUGCGGUAGUCGGCGCUUCUCCGACGCGUCCAUGGGAUCGUCUCGAUAUGUUUGUUGAUGUGAAUUCGAAGCCGCGGCGACAGGGUCCCUGUGGCAUAUGCUGACUGGCUGCAGAUGGCUGUUUGGUGAUCUUCUGUGGCGCCAACCGUGCCUGGUUUUGUCCUUUGUAGUUCCCUGUUAGAGUCGGAACUGUGUUGUCCGACCGUAGGUGAUUGAGUUCUGGCAUGAAUCUUCAGACGACUCCACUUGGCCUCUACAGUGUGGGUUGAGUCUGACGAUUGCUUACGGCGAAGUCGGAGUCGUUUGUUCAUAGUUCAGAGAUGGUGAUGAUGCCUUCUAAGGGAGAAGUGAUAACAAUGACGUUUGCGUGCUGUCUCGGCGAGGCCCUAUUUAGAGUGGUGUGCGCGGGAUAUCUUCUGUGUGUGCCGCUCAGCGGUUGUGAUGAUUUUCACCCAGUUCUUCACAAUUAACUGGGCAAUCUUGUUUUCGCACCGUUUUUCUUAAUUAGCCGAGCAACUCUUUUCUUCUUAAUGGAUGCAGGAAUUUUGUCAUUUCGAAAAGAACAGAAAUUAUUAGUAUAGCACCUGUGUGUGUUUUGAAGGUGUUUAGGUCAUACAAUUUGAGACAAAAGCAGACAGACUAGCUAUUUUUUGGGUUUAUCUUGAUAUGAUGUUUGGAGUUUGGUACACGAGAAGAAGGAACACAAUAUCCUUUUAUGGCCAUGUGUUCUUUGUGUUCAUAGUAUGGCAUCUUUAAUUGUAACGAAGCUUUUAAGGUAGAGAUCCACGCGUUGCUGCAAGGAAUGGCUUUAGCUAUCCAACAUACGGAAUUGCCGAUUAUUGUUCAAUCAGACUCUUCUGAGGCAUUGUCCAUCUUGACAAAUGAUAACCUGUUGCGGUCCGCUUAACCUGGUUGCUGAGAUUAAGUCUUUAUCAGAGGAGCGGGAGUUUAUUCCCCAAAAUCUUACUAGGAAUAAGAAUAGGGUAGUAGACCGUCUCACGAAUUAUAGCCAUAUUGACUCUUGUAUAGUUGUUUGGCUUGAAAGAGAGGAUCCCUAUGUAUUGAGGAACUCUUGCCACCUAUAGUUUUUAAAUAAAAUUCUCCUUUUCUCGGCAAUGCUCCAUCAAAUAAUGUAUCUGCCAAUGAUGAUGAAAAAAUAUGUUGGGCAUCCUAAAUUUUAGACCUAAAUGCUGCAUAUUUGCAGCGUUGUACCUACUCCCGCAAGAACAAAUCGCAAUCACGCGAAAGCCAACCGCCCCACGGAAGUUUCCUCAUCGUUCGACCCGCCGCCACCGAUGCCCAUUUCAGUUGGAUCUCGCCGCCACGACGAGUCUGACACCCGCCCCAUCCCAGCCACCAUCCCACCGCUUGGACGUAUGUGACCGGCCCCAUUGUCGCCGUCCGAUUUGCUUUCGGCAGCUCCCACCCUCCACCAUCCUAUAUGGGCGCUGCAACAGCGGGGCUUGCUGUGGAGGUCGACUAGGUGUCGUCCCAUUCCCCACAUGACCGUCGCUACCACCAUUGAGCCGAUGCGCCUUUCUAGCACCACACCAUCAUCCCCGAGCUCCUGCCACGGGCCCUGAACUUCCCCGGCGUCGAUGUCGAGCUUCUCCAUGUCAUCGGAUCCGCAUCCCGGCCUCCCCGCCGUCGGAUCGUCAUGUUUCAUGUGGUUCUUAUUUUUUUGGACAUCACUUUUUGCCAUGUGUUGAAGCAACAACAGUUGCGAUGCCAAAAUAAUCUUUUAUCUCCUACCCUAAAAUGUCUUUUCAUCACCAACCUUUUCAUCAACUAUUGGAGGUGCUCUCGCUAAACCGAAUCCACGGCGCUACAGCCAGCCCAACCCAGCCAAGUGGGGCCACGAAUAGAAGAUGCCACUCUUCCCCACUCCACUCCGAGCCCUAUUCUCCCCCUCCACCGCCGCCUCCUCCACCGCCGCCGCCCCGCCGCCCCGUCGACCGCCGCUCGCGGGGGCUCUCCUCUUCCUCAGCCUAGGAGCCGUAGCCGGUUGCGCCCUCUCCACUCGCCGUGUCCCCUUCCUCCGGUAACUCAUAUAAUCCUCUUUUCCCCCCUCCCUCUCCGCCAUCAGUUAAUUAGUAACAAUUCGUGCCUUAGAUUCAUGGAAUUUCGCAAAAAGGCCGCGCUGGUUGGCUGUGAUGGUUCAGCUUGUCGCGUCUUUAGCUUCUCUGAUUGCUAGCUCGUAGACUAGUUGUGUAGCUACAGUCUACAAUCAUCCGUGGAUUGCUGUUACCUAGAAGUAUGAAACCUGUGUCGCGGUGUGCUUGGCUGGAUAAAACAAGAUAGAAGUGUUACAGGUCUGAUGAAUUUGCAUACGAUGUUUGUCCGACACUCGUCAGUCACCUUUGGAUCAAAAGUUUUGCAAAUUAUCGCAGUUACCCUCAUAGCUUUUCAGACAAAAACUGAUGUGUUUCUGUUGCUGCAUUGAUGCUAAGAAUUCGAUAAUCUAAAGUAGUACCACAUUAAUAUUUACAACACUGUGAUUUCUAUGCGAGCCUGUGGUUAUUUUGUUUUUUGUAAUGUAUAAUAGUUGAUAAUCAGUUAUCAGUUCUGGAACUUUACAGGGCGAUAAGUUCUGCUAGAAUGGAAUCUACUUCCACGACCGUGCCUUCCAUUGUUGUAUAUGUGACAGUUCCAAAUCGGGAAGCAGGUACUUUAACUAUGUUGUUGUUUUCUAUUAUUAUAUCAUCGUUGCAUGUUACCAUCCCAUUAAUUAAUCCUAAUCCCAAGUACAAGCCGUACUAUUAAUUGACUAACUGAACUUACUUUCACAUCUGAUAGUGCAUCUGAGUUACUCCCUCCGUCCCAUAAUGUAAGACGUUUUUUGACAUUAGUGUAGUGUCAAAAAGCGUCUUACAUUAUGGGACGGAGGGAGUAGAUUUCUAUUUAAAAUCUCGUCGCUGUUAUGUUGUUCAAUGGUCCCAUUGUAGAUGUCUAUAUGAUAUUUUUUUGGCGAGUUUGAUCUCUUUCUUAAGCAGCACUAAGAAAUGUAAAAUGGCUGUCUUUUAUUUUCAGUUAUCUUAUUAUUAAUUUUCCUUUGCUGCAGGCAAAAAGCUAUCAGCAAGCAUUAUCAGUGAGAAACUUGCUGCUUGUGUGAACAUAGUGCCUGGUAGGAACUAUGUUCUCUCUCUUGUUUAUUCUGUGCCACUAGACACUCAAAUGUAGUAGACUCCUUUUUUUUUGCAUGGAAUAGUUGACUCCAGUUGACCAUCUUCUACAGUAGUUUUCAAUUAUCACUUGAACCUAUCAUCUCUUCCAGUUUCCAUUCAAACCCGAUGUUGUGCACUUUAGCAAAUUGGCUUCUCUAUCCCUUGCCUUGAAUCGAAUGUCAGCAAUGGACCAGGAUGACCAUUGGACAUUUGAGUUUUCCAGAAUGUAGCAUGGACAGUCAUGUGGCUGUGUACAUCAUCAUUUGACCUGUCAGGUGCAGCAUCGUGACAUCACUACUGCUGGAACUAAACUUGAUGAAAAUGUAUUCAAUUGAUGACAUUAUGGGGUCUCAAGUGAAAAUCGUGGUGAAAAUGAAGGGCUGCAGGGAACCAUCUUCGUAAUUAUAGAAGUAGGAAUUAGGGAUGGUAGUAUAUUAGAGAUGGAGUAUAGACAUGUUAUGCUUGAUAGCCAACUCUACUUGGUCGCUGACAAAAAAUAUUUAUAUGAAAGAAGCAUAACUCCAACUUGUGGUAGCUGAGGUUCAACAUAAUUACCGUUUGAGAUUAUACUUGAAUUAACUGAACGUCUGACCAUCACCAAGAUCUUCAAGACACCUUUUAAUUGUAGACCAUAGCUUGUGCCUGCCUGUACAUAUGCACUGGAAGUCUGGAACUGGAAUAGUUGUGGAAACGGUGAUGCGCGGGCAAGUUGGCAUGGGUGACUUGCUUGUUUGCUUAGAUCAUAUUGGUGCAAUGACUGCAGAAUCUUUUAGCAAACUGUACUCUUUACUGACAGUAAAAUAUGUGUACUAAACUGACGGAUAUGCAUUUGGCCAUCAACAGGUAAGCCGCCUCAUCUUCUCUUCUCAUGAUAGUUUCUUCUGUUGUACAUGGUUUACUGAGCAAUCUUUUUUCAGUCAUCAUACCAUAUUAUCUUAUUGUUUGCUCUUUGACCUAUCUCAUAGUUGGCAUUCUUGUCUCUUUCCAGGAAUCGAAUCUGUUUACUGGUGGGAGGGAAAGGUACAUUUUUACUGAUGCUUUCUUGGCCAUGCUAACUUGCAGUGUUCGUUGUCCAGUCACAGCUUUUCACCAUGAAACACCCUUACAUGGGAUGCUUGACCAACCCAUUACAAAAGUACUGAUAUUUAGUUUUCCCCAAUCUGUCCAUUCCUCAGGUGCAAACUGAUGCUGAAGAGCUGCUCAUCAUCAAGACCAGAGAAUCUCUUCUAAAUGCCUUGACUGAACAUGUCAAAGCUAACCAUGAGUACGAGUAAGUUGUGUCCUGUUUGUCAAGAUCUAUCUACUUGUCAGUACAAAGUAUGGAUGAACAUGCUGAACGGAUACUUACUGUCUGAUUAUGCAGCGUUCCUGAAGUCAUUGCGCUGCCCAUCAGCGGAGGCAACCUCAAGUACUUGGAGUGGCUCAAGAACAGCACCAGGGAGAAUUAAUCUGGCCAGAGCUGCUUCCCAUGGACCGCAUCUGUGAGUAGAGUACCUAGUGGUGUGGAGUGUCUGUUCUGGUUUGGGACAUUGUGCUUGUGCAGAAAGACUUUAGUGGCCUCUGUGCGUCUAUGGCGUGGCUGCGACGAAUCGGUCGAUCUGUACUGUCUCCUAGGGUCAAAUAAACUUUCAGAAGCGUGUAGCGCCAAGUCGACUGCACAAAUUCCUCUUGUCGCGCUCGUGGAUUAUCUCAUCACCAUGUUCCUUCAGCUAAUCUCUUGAAAGAAAAACCAUGGGUAUUAUCUGCCAUCAAACCCCGGAACAACAACACAUGCAUGUGUGACAUUUUUUUUCAGAGCAAGCACUGGUACAUGUGCUGGAUGAAGAGGCGGCAGCACGUGGCGUGCGGUUAAAAAAGAGAGGAAUGAUGUGCGCUUUACCUCCUCGCUAAGCUACUAGAGUUCCGAUAAAGUAGAGAUCUAUCUGUAAUCAGUGGGUGAGGGUAAUUCCGUCGGAGUAUGAGACAGUGGAUGUCAUGCAUGUUGAGGACGAUGUGUCGAUGUCAGUCUGUCACUGUGUGGGCUUUUUCACUAUUCUGACCCUUUCAACAAACUUUAUCACAAAAUGAACUCGACGUGAAAGUAUUUCACGAUCUGACCCUUUUAGCAAAGCCACAGCCCGCGGCGUUUCUGCCCAACAUAGAAACGCCGAGGUAGCUAGCGUUUCUGACCAAGAAGAAACGCCGAGGUAGCUAGCGUUGCGGACAAGGUAAGAAACGCCAAAGGCGCUGGCGUUGCUGCCCAUCAUUGAAACGCCAAGAGACCAUGGCGUUGCUGCCCUUUUCCAUGUGCAUGUGAAAUGUGGAUGAACAGCCUAACUAAUAAGGCUAAUUAAUUAUGACCAAAGAGGGUAGAAACGCCAUGGUCCCUUGGCGUUUCAAUGAUGGGCAGCAACGCCAGCGCCUUUGGCGUUUCUUACCUGGUCCGCAACGCUAGCUGCCUCGGCGUUUCUCCUUGGUCAGAAACGCUAGCUACCUCGGCGUUUCUAUAUUGGGCAGAAACGCCGCGGGCUGUGGCGUUGCUAAAAGGGUCAGAUCGUGAAAUACUUUCACAUCGAGUUCAUUUUGUGACAAAGUUCGUUGAAAGGGUCAGAAUAGUGAUUUUGUCCUCACUGUGUGGUGUGUACCACAACUGACAAAAGUCCUCUCCAAUAAUGUAUCCUCUUUUGGCUUUCUAGUUGGCCCUUUUUACUUUGGAUGGUACUAGGGUAAUCUGCAGGCUGCACCACUGAGCUGAAUCCAACAUGUGGCUGGUCUGGUCUGGAGAUCUGGUCACAUGAUGCACUGGGCCAGCAAGAGGGUUGCAGUUUUGUUCAUUCCAAGGUGGUUAGGUUCAGUGGGAAUCUGCCUACUGAUUCAGAUGCACCUCCCCAAAGAAAAAUACUGAUUCAGAUGCACCUGUACCAACACCGAGAUCGAUAAUAUGAUCCACCUAUCCACCCACGUACUCCCUCCGUCCGAAAAUAGUUGUCAUCAAAAUGGAUAAAAAAGGAUGUAUCUAAAACUAAAAUACAUCUAGAUACAUCCCCUUUUAUUUAUUUUGAUGACAAGUAUUUCCGGACGGAGGGAGUAGCUAACAAGAUAGCAGUAGCAGCUACUUGCAUAAUCAGGGAAAGUUCAGUAUAAUAACCAAAUCAUCUGGCUUUGUAUCUGCACUUUUGUGGUGAUGAAGCAGAGAUCACAUCGUUUCCCCGCCUUUAUUAGUUCAACCCAGAGAAAAUUCUCAUCUCACAUGUAGUAAGAUGUAACAAGGGAGCAAAGAAGAUCAAGCACCUGUCAGACAGUCACACACACAACUGUAUUAACGGACAAGUGUGCGAACAGUUACACUGAACCAUCAUUUUUCCAACCCCAAAAUAAGAACACACGCAUAUACUAAUCGACAACAAUUAAGCUUAGCCAGUAGCCAAGUCACACGCCCUACUCUCCUCUAGCGGGAAGGGGCACACACAUCAGAUCAGAUCAGAUGAGAUUCAGAGUCACACACACACACACACACACACACCGGAACCAAGCGAACAGCACUCGGAUAAGAUUCAGAGACGGCAAAACAGCUAUU
This 72153-nucleotide long non-coding RNA is filed under the name Triticum aestivum (bread wheat). RNAcentral describes it as "long non-coding RNA (TAES_LNC023111)". The stretch from base 68240 to 68326 matches the Rfam family "MIR1120/MIR1122 microRNA precursor family". The record is from RNAcentral. Lineage: Eukaryota; Viridiplantae; Streptophyta; Magnoliopsida; Poales; Poaceae.